AAAAAAAAAAAAAUACAUGUUCAGAACAAUGAGGUUACAAUAUAUCAGUGCUUUACCCUGUCAACCUUCAGGAAAAUCUCAUCGACUUGAUGCCUAAAGCCAUCCACUUCUGUAUGAACAGUAUCCCCCACAACAAAGUUUCUGCCAUCUGCUACAUCCAUGGGAUCAAUCUAAUUCUGUACAACAACAUUUGGUGAAUACAAAGAACGCUACCUUGGGAAUUGCCAAAAAAAAAAAAAGAUAGAUAAUGCUCUUUAAGGUGUAAAAUGCCUUGAAAAUAAUAGUUUCCUUAAGACUUAAACCUAAAAAUUAAAAUAAAAUGAGGCAAACCUUUUCUGUGAAUUUUUUUAAAAGUAAAUAUGAAAAUAUAUGAUAUUAUGAGUAAUAAGAUCAACAAAUUAGGACUUUUACCAUGGAAAUAAAAAACAGCAAUAUAGUUUCACAAGGAGCCCUCACCGCACAAAGAACCCUAGAAUAGACAAUAGAUGGAUAAUACAACCGAAUAAGAAGCAUCAUAAACUAUAGAUGCAAAAAAAAAGGUAGGAAACAAUUGAUUUAUGAAACAAAAUGAUGCACCUGGCUACAAAUAUAAGAACAAACUGAAUUUUCCAGUUAUCCUUCUGUAGCAAUAAACUUACUCCAACAAACAACAAUGCAAAGAACCCCCAAAUUAAAUGGUAUAACUACAAAUAUUGACCUAAUUGAACCCAAAGAAAAUUUUACAAACUAAUCCAAAAAACAAAAUCUUCUCUACCACUAACUCAUUCCUGAAAACAUUUCCAUGACCUUUUAGCCAUGUGUAUUGACAUUAUUAACCUUCUCUAUUCAAAUCCUCAACCGUUCGAUUUUCUCUCUCCUCAACCAACAUCUUCAAUGCUAAUCACCAAUAUUCCACCAAAACAUUUAUACUCAACAACAUUUUGUCAUUAGCAUUGAAUGAUCUUGGAUUAUAUCACCGAUGGGACAAAAAAGUCGCUCUAAAACAUUGAAUUUCCUUCCCAUUCUCAUUCCCUGCUCUUCACAUUCUUCUACAAUCAUUCUCCAUCAAAGUUUCAGGUGAAAAUCCUUCUUGUCCUUCGUAUUUGCUCCAAUCGGUCUUCAGAACCAAGUAACUGGACUAUAAGUACUCGUGUGUGAAUUUUAUCUUAUUUUUUAAUAUUACUCAUCGUCUAACAAAAUCGUCAUGACCGUUGAGAUUUUACACACGAUCAUGGUACAUUUUAAUGUAAGAAUUAUAACUAAUUGUUGAUUAUCAAUUAGUUAGUAGUUAGUUUAAUCAUCUGACUAAAUUCUUGAUUUCCAACCAACCUCUAGUUAGUUGUUAGUUUUAUUUUCUGUUAAAAGUUUGUUAUAACCGUCCAACUUUAUCCUUUUUUUUUUUAAAUGGAGACAAGCCUCUUUAUUAAUAAUAAUAAAUGAGACUAAUGCUCAAAGUACAAGAGUAAUAUACUAAGAGCAAAAUAAGAAAAAGACAAAGUCUUUCAAACAAACUAAACAAAGAUGAACCCAUACAAAGUAUAUGGGAAACGACCAAUAAACGAUCACAAAGUUGAAACAACGAAAGAACCAAAGCAACAAAGAGUUGAAACACCAGUAAAGAUCUUAAUACAAAGAAAAUAUAAACACUUUGAUGAAAAGCGCCCACUUCAAACUGAAAUUUUGAAUACCACAUGCUUCGAUUUGAAAGGUGAAGUAGUAAAAUCAAGUUUUUCUUCGCAAGAGGGCAAGGAAACCUACAAAUAAGUAUACGGGAUCAAAAUGUCUCUUCAACCAUAGAAGCCAUGCAGCCCCUGUUAGGUUGUUGCGCUUAUAUGAGAUUAAUGCUCCUUUGUUUAUUUCCAUAUUCUAUUUACAUUGUGCCGUUCUUGAUCUUUUAUCCCGCUUUACAAGGCUUUCUAGCAUUUUAUUUCGGUAGUAUAUUGCUAUCAUGCUUCUGCACAAUUGCCAAGGAACUGAAUGAAGAUCUGAACCAAUCAUCAUGACCCAAGAUUUGUGUGCUUCUUCCGCUCGAUGGUCCAUGUCUAAAGCCCAUAUUAACUGCCCAUAGACAUUCAUUGUGGCUCCCUGGCCCUUGCUUAGCAUCUAUUUGAUUACCUGUACAAUUCUAUGCCACUGUUGUUCCUUCUCAAGGGCAGCCAAUACAUGCUUAAGGGAUGCUAUUGGAAAGACUUGCUCCCAUGCAACUCAGGCAUCAAGAGCACCAUAAACAGCCUCCUUACCUAUCUCUCAGAUGAAGCAGCUCUAAAUCCGUGAUUGAGCUGCUGUCCCACAUAGACAAAAUCCCCCUGAAGAACCCACAGAUUCCACAAAAUCCCAACCAACAUCUUUGGAGCUCCAUAGAGAUUUUAUAAAAGCAAAAUUGAUAGCUUCCAUUUUUUACUCUUGAGUCAAAAUUAUGUUCGGAUUACAGUUUUUUUAACUUUUUGAGAGCCGCUCUCUUGGAGACAUCUUUUAGACCCCUUGUAUUCCAUAAGAUAAUCUUCAUAGGGCUGAGUGAGAGCAAAUAGUGGGCUGACCCCUUAGACCAGAACUAUACCACAGUGGGUUUAGGGUUUAGGGUUAUUAACUAAAGAUAACAAAUCUUUACGUAAUUCUAAAGAGCUUUAGAAGGGGAAUGGCAGAUUCCUCAAAUAAUGUAGUAAGAUCAGUCCCAUCUAUUUCUGAGGUGACAUUUUGAUCAGAAACUCUUAGAAAACCCACUGAUUCUUCACUACUUACAUUAAAAGGAGAGUCUAUGGUCACAGCACGAGUCUUCUCUGGUGAGUUUAAAAAAUAUAAAAUAUGGCAGGGGGAUCCUUGCAUUAAAGAUACAUUAGUGUUGGGGUUGGGGAGUUUGAAGUAAAGAAAAGAAAUGGGAGGAAAACCUGCUGAAGCUGACCUUAUGAGACCAUCAGAAGACUGUAUUUUGGUGCUGCACACCUCCAGAAGAUCAGGAUUUUCUUCUGAUAUUGAAGGCCCUGUACGGGUGAUCUGUGGAGGAGCUGAAGCUGAAGCUUUGAGUGAACAGAAUCCAUUCAGUUCUGAUUGUAGCAAGGUUGUCCAGAUAUUAUUAAAAGAAUUUUGCUUUCUGAUGUAGUGUUUAACUAUUUUCGGAACUUUAGAAGAUUUACCACCUAUGAAGAGGGAUUUGCUGUGGCAGUGGGCAGCUCAGGAGUUGGCUGCAGAGUUGGAUUGGCCAAGAGCUUAAUUAAAGAGGAUGGAGGCUCAUUAUUACCCGUGAACGUAAUUAGGGGGCACAAUGUUACUCUCACCUGGUGGGUCAUUAGCAGCUGUAAAAAGAGGGUUUAAUUUAAUUUCAGUGGGCCCUAUAACUUUUUGGAGACAGCUGUGCUGCAAGGGAUUGGUGAUUGGCAAAAACUGUUCAGAUGCCCGCUCGUUUGAGAAAACAGCCAGCUGUGCACCGAUUUCUGUCUUUUUCUCCAGCAAUGGCACCGGUAAGCUGGCCAGAAAGGGCUUCAAAAGACUGAACGGAUUCCUAGCCCUGGGAAGAACAAACACUGACUUUGGUACAUUGAUGACUGGAGGGAAGGAGGAAAUGUCAAGACCUUCAUGAUUCAAAACUUCCCUAAUACGCAACCCCGGUCGAUUGAGUUACUAAAAUUCCUUGCAAACUGGGGGCUAUGCUUGUAUUAGGUGGAUUUAAAAAACUCAAAAUCACCAUAGUGCAGAAAGAUGCUACCCCUCUUAUGAUCAGAGAUUUCAAUUGUUGAAGGAACAAAGCUACAAAUGUUCUUUUUGACCAAGAUCCGGGCUUCACUACAAUUUGUAAGAUUUAAGGUUUUUGUGGCUAUCAAUUAGUCUUCCAAAGUGGUCUCCUAUAGCUUCAAAGGUGCUUCAUUUCCAGAAAUCUAAAGGAAGAUUCUUUAUUUUAGUCCAGCCCCCAAAACAUUGAAUCACGAGGGGCCUACUACGUCCAGCUUUAUCCUUUGUAUAAAUAGGUCAUUUGACUUCUCUUUCAAAUCAAUAAAAAGAUAAAGAAAUUUUAGUAUUCUUGAGUUUUGUUUACACCAAUUGGUAUGAGAGCGAAGAUCCAUUACGCAUUCUUUCUUGGAUCACUUUUUUUUCAUGGAUGCAGAAACCUCCUCUUUAACAAAGCUAUGGAAACCAGACUGACUAAUGUAGAGAAAUCUGUAGGUGAAAUUCAAGGCGAGUUAGAUGAAAUCUGUUCUAUGCCGUGGGAAAUUUUACAGAACUUAAAUAUCAAUUCUGAAACCAACAGAGAGCAUGCUGAAUUAGCUCCAAACAAAAAAAUUCAGAUCCAAGAACGACAAGAUUUGGGCGACGACAGAGCUGUCAACUUUAAUUCUUCACUAAAUGAAGCCAAGAACCUUGCAAGAAACCCAGCCAAACAAAAGAUUGUCAAAUAUCCUUAUAAAAAAUUAAAGAUGAAAACAGUCCAAUGAAACUGCAGGACACGAUUACACUUUUGAAUUAAAGAUGAAAACAUGCCAAGGUUUUGUAGUUGGCAAAGAAAAGGUUCACAUACUAAUCCUCCAAUUCGCAAACGACACCCUUCUGUUUUGUAAGUAUGAUGAAAGCAUGCUAAUGAAACUGCAGGACACGAUUACACUCUUUGAAUGGUGCUCCAAGCAGAGACACAGAAGGUUAAUUGGGAGAAAUCAGCCUUAUAUGGAGUUAAUGUGGAAGAGGAUGAGCUGAAAAAUAUGCCUGGGAAAAUGGGAUGUUCUGCAAAAAUGAUGCCCUUCUUAUACUUAGGGCUUCCAUUGGGAGGGUAUUCAAGACAGUGUACUUUUUGGCAGCCCAUGAUUGAGAAAAUGCAGAGAAAAAUACACAGAUGGAGAAGAUUCAACUUGUCACAAGAAGGUAGAGCUACUUUAUGUCAAUCCGUAUUUGCUAAUCUUCCUACAUAUUACAUGUCUCUGUUUGCAAUUCCGAUUAAUAUAGCAUCUUCUUUGGAGAGAUUAAUGAGGAAUUUUUUCUGGGAGCAGCACACAAGAAGUAAAAUUAACCAUUUGGUUAAAUGGGCCAAAGUUAUCCGAAACCAUUUGGUUAAAUGGGCCGCCCCAACUUGUGGAGGUUUGGGCUUGGGAGCAUUGCAAAAUAAGAACAUGGCUCUACUUCCAAGCGGGGCUGGAGGUUUAUGAAUGAAGACGACUCUCUAUGGAGACAAGUCAUCCAAAGCAUCUAUGGAAAAGAACCCUUCAACUGGCACACGGUGGGAAAUUCUAGCCACAGUCUAAAAGGCCCAUGGAUUAGUAUCUCACAGGUAUGAAGGAAGGUGGAGCCUUUAGCUUCUUCUAAACUUGGAGAUGGUUCAAGGACUGCCUUUUGAACAGAUGAUAGGAUUGCCUUCCUCUCUGCACUCAAUACCCCCUGCCUCUUCAGAAUUACACUUCUACCAAAACGCUCCAUAGCAGUGCACUGGGAUUAUUCAACUUCUUCUUGGUCCAUAGUCUUUAGAAGGCUUCUUAAAGACAUUGAAAUUUUGGAAUUACAAAACUUGAUGACUCAACUAGCUUCAAAAAAGGUCUCAAACAAUCCCAACAGAAGGAUUUGGUCUUUGGAAGAGCAUAGGAAGUUUACAGUCAAGUCUCUUACAAGACACCUACUGGCUUUUUCCCCAUUGGCCAAGGAUCUUCAUAAAGCUUUGUGUAAACCCAAAUGUCCACCAAAGAGAGUAAGUAUUCUCGUUUGGAUUAUGAUUUUUGGCCUCUUGAAUUGCGCUUCAGUCAUGCAACUAAAGACACCAAACAGCUGCCUAUCACCUUCCAUGUGUCCACUGUGCAAGCAAGAAGGUGAAGAUUUACAGCACCUAUUCUUCAAAUGCUCUCUCUCCAAACUGUUAGUGGAAGCUUUUUUUAUUUUCGAUGUGGUUUGUGUCUUUGGAAUUCUUUUAACCAAAAUGUUCAGCAAGUGGGUCCGAUAUUUAAGAAGAAACUGAGGCUGAUUUGGGCUAAUUUUUCAAAAGCUAUGUUUUCUGAAAUUUGGUUUGAAAGGAACCAAAGAACCUUCCAUGACAAUAAAACUUCUUGGUUGGAUCACUUUAAGACAGCAAGUAGGAACGCAGUAACUUGGUGUACCCUCCAUAAAGAAUUCGAAGCUUUCUCCAUUUAAGCUAUCAAUCACAACUGGCAGUCCUUCAUUUAUUCAGUUCUUUAACAGUCAGUCCUUCAUGAAGACCCACUGUUUUGACCUUCUAUAUGGUUGCUGUCCUUUUGAUGUAUUUGUUAUGUUUGUUAUGUUUUUAUUUCCAUUCCAUUUUGGAUCUGCAGCUCAUCAUGGUUUGUACUCCUGAAUACUUUAUUUUGUAUUUUUUGACCCUAUGUGUACUGGAUAUAACAAGGACGCUAAGGGAGUGUCCGGGUGCGCCUACUAAUCCCAUAGUCUCUUAAUGUUUUCUACUCUUUGUAUAAACCUUUUGUACUUUGAGCUAUUAUUAUAAAUAAAGAGGCUGGUUUCCUUUAAAGAAAAAAUAAAUAAAUAAGAAACUGUCAUCUAUAUCCUUAUAAAGUUUCUAUAAAAAUUUGGACAAAGUCUCCUCUGAAAAACGAACUAGUCACACCUAGAAAAUAAGAGAAAAAAAUUGAAAACGUAAGUUAAAACUCAAUGAGUGGCAAGUUUUUAAAAGUAAAACUUAUAAAACAUACUUCUAAUAAGAAACAUUUAGGCAUACUUUUGAUAACAAAACCAUAACUCAGAUUCCAAGAUCGUUAUUUAUAAAAUCGUUACAAAUUUAUUAAAAACAUGUCAACUUAUCCAUGUCCAAUUCAACACAAAAGGUUAAAGUAAAUACCAACAAUGAAGCAUAAGGCCAUACCCAGCUCACACAUAUUUACCAUUAACCCUCUACAAUCCCAAUCUACGACACUAGAACACACUGAAUAAACGGCUGGAGAAUAGCUCACGCAUGAUUCAAAGGACAUGCGGCUAAACUGAGUUCACGCAUAUUCACAAUCAAACAUGUACAUAUCUCGGUGUACCAUGGAAAAAUGUAUCCAAGAAUAGCUCAACAUGUUCCAUAUCCACAAGGAAACAUACGGCCAAACUGAGCUCACGCACAUUUAGUAACUGCAAUAAUGACGAUCUAAUCUCAAUAUCCACAUCCUCGGUAACUAUGCUCCUAUGUGCACAUAGAGAUAUCCUCCAAGGGUUUUUCUAGGCUCGAAGCCAAUACUACAGCCUACAUCCAUUUCCUCACCUAGGUUUAGGUUCCUAGAUCUCUGGGUUACAACUUCCCUCAACCCCAGAAUCCCUUGGAAACCGUAGGGGGUGCUAUGGACACACAUUCAUGUAGCCUAUGGGUAAAAUCACCUCAGUACACUGAUUCUGUGGUUUGAAAACCAACCUUCACAUUCCACCAUAAACCAUCAUCUAUAAAUACAUCUCAUACCCAACAUUUCAUGCAGUCCAAAGCUAAAACAAAUUUUCUAAAUAAGAGAGACAGAAGCAUUCGCAUCGAUAAAUCCAAACUAAGCAUAUUUUAACACAAAUUUCCGAAAGAACUCAAAAUACUAGAGAAGUUGUAGCUAUUUAUCACAAUUUCUAAUAUUUCAUAAAAUCCACUAUAAAAUCACAUUUGCAUAUAACUCAUGUAAAUUGUAAUUAAAUCAUAUCCUAUUCAAAAACACAUAUUACAAAUUCGCAUUAUAGAGAACUCAUGAUAAAUCAUAAACUUUAGUUAAGGUCAUUAUUGAUAAUACAGUUAUAUCAAAACAAGCUAUGCCGAACACUUAUUCACAAACCAAAUUCAACUAUAUGUCUAAAAUAAAUUUUCAUAUAAAAUAUUUGAAAAUAACCACUUACGGUCAAUAGCUUGAUCCUCUAAGAUUAGAAGCUCUCCCUGGCUUGACUUAAAGCGACGUGAAAACCGCAAUGACUUCUUAACAAUACCUCUCAGUCCUGAAAAGAUCCAACCAAUAUCAAAACCAACCUUGUUGGAAAUCUAUUCAAUUUAAUCCAAAACAGUAUGGGCAUCAAUAAACUCAUGCCUAAACCAAAUGGGUGCUUCAAGAACUUAAAGAAAACGCACUAUAGUACCCAAAAUCUUACCUAAGGCUUGUUUAAAUAGCCUUAGCUUCGAUGGACAGCACUCAGCGGUUUUCUAAAUUCACAUCCUAACAUCCAAAAAUCAUGGGUACCUCAAAAUUACCACCAAACCUUAAUGGAUAUUCAAGACCAACUCCAAAAAGUUUAGAUUCUUACCCAUUUGAUGCCAAAAACGCCUAGUAUUCACUUCUCGCCAGCUGGACUGCAGUUAACUCCUUCCAAAAGCUCGAUUAUAAUACUUAAACCUGAUGUGCAUUAAUAAAUUUAAGUCAAAAUUUAAUGGGUGUUCCAAAUCUUUACAAGAAACUCAACUAAAACAAUGAAAUUUUACCCCAAAACUCAAGAAUCAAACUUUCAGCGACAACGCAACGAUAAGCAACAGAGAUUCGAUGCUCACCAGAACACCGGAGGCUCAAUCAACGCAUAGAAAGGAUGGACAACUAGCUCGACAGAGGACUCGUGGGUCCGAGUGGCAAGAUCUGGCACUACGACUUUGGAUUAAAUAGCAGCGCGAAACGAACCUCGGGGGUAGCGUGACUGUGGGCCAAGUGGCAGCGUGCACGACAAACAAAAUCCAACGGCCAGGAGUUGGUGGACGAUUUCCAAUCGGCAGACAGUGGCUAAUCGGAGACGACGAGAGGAAGGGAGGGCCGUGGGCUUUCACGAAGAGGAAGAAAAAUCCAGCUUCUUCUUUAUUAUAAUUUCAUUUUAUAAAAAUAUAAAAUAAAAAGAUAAGAAAUGACCAAAAUGCCUCUCACUUUUAUUUUUAUAUUUCCUUAAUGCCCUUAGUGGUGUACUUCGAAUCUACCCUUUUGAGAAAAAUACAACUACUCUUUCUAAUAAUUGCUUCUUAUAAAUAAUAUCAUCUCCUCCAAACAGAAGAGAAACAUUCAUCAACCAAAACCCUUCUAGUGGUUUGCACCAUUUGGUAUCAUAGCACCCAAGGAUUUCUAGGACCAAUGGCCCUUCCUCAACCAAUCAAUUAGGUGGACGACGUCGAAACGAUCAAGAGCAAGAGGCAAAAUCAACUUCCAUCCUCUCUCCCAACGACUUCUUCAAGACACGCUUAGUUGAGAGAAUUAAGAAAAUUCUUAGAGAACGUUUGGUGAAGGAAAAAGUUAUGAUAUAAUCUUAUGAUUAUAAUAAAACUAAUUUUAUGAUAAGAUGUGUUUGGAAACGGUUUGUUAUUGAUAGUGUUAUGAUAGUAUGUGUUUGGGAAAUGAUUAUGAUAAGUAGUAUUAUGAUAAUAUUUGUCAUAAACUUGGCCAUUAUUCCUCGGAAUGCAUAAAUAGAGUUGAAUAAAAUGCAAAUUAUGCUGAGAAAGACGAAGAAAGUGGUAAUUCAUCAUUGCUUCUAGCAUGUAAAGGUGUGGAAACAUGUGAAAACAAUGCAUGGUAUCUCGAUAGAGGUGCAAGCAAUCAUAUGUAUGGAAGUAAAUCAAUGUUCGUGGAGCUUGAUGAAUCUGUUGGUGGCGAUAUUGUAUUUGGUGAUGCCACAAAAAUUCCAGUUAGAGGAAAAGGUAAAAUGUUGAUCAAUUUGAAGAAUGGAAAGCAUGAGUUUAUCUCUAAUGUUUAUUAUGUGCUUGAUAUGAAGAACAACAUUUUGAGUUUGAGACAACUCUUAGAGAAAGGCUAUAAUAUUUUGAUGAAGGAUUAUAGUCUUUUGAUAAGAGAUAAUCAUGACGAUAUGAUUGCUAAAGUGCAAAAGACAAAAAAUAGAAUGUUUUUAUUGAACAUUCAAACUGAUGUAUCGAAAUAUUUAAAGUCAUGUUUGAAAGAUCCAAACUGGAUUUGGCGCUUGAGAUUUUGGCAUUUAAAUUUUGAUGGCUUGAGACUAUUAGCCAGGAAGGACAAACAUCCAAACCAAUUUGGUGAAGGUUGUCUUUAUGGCAAGCAAUCAAGGAAGAGUUUUCCACAACAAUCAUCCAAGUGUGAGUAGAAUACACAUAAAAAAUUAGAAUCUUCCAAUAAAGUUUGUUUUUCCUCUUAAAUAUUCUAUUUGGUAAUUAUCUAUUUGGGGUGUUCAUCGUACGCUUCCAACAGUAUAAACGUCAUGAAAAGCAAAAAAAAAUCUUAUAUUAUAAGAUUAUGCGGUUGUAAUGUGAGUUGACAAAAUGGAAUAGGGAAGCAAAUGAAAUGAAAUGCUACACACACUCACCGAUUGUCUUGCUCCUCCAAUCCCUGACAUCAGUGAGAGUUUAUGUAUAGCAUGAAAACCGUCUAUCAACCAUAUAGACUCCUUGGGUUCUCAUAAUAACAUUUGCACUUUUAAAUCUUUUCGAUACAAAUUUUGAUGUUGUGUUGGGAAACAAGACUUUGAUGUGGUGUCGAUCAUUGGCGUGCAAGUAUCUUAAUUUUGUUGGAGAAGUUCUUAGUAACAACAUAUGUUCUGAUUUUGAGGACCAACAACAUCCCACAGUAGAAGCCAUUAUUAUUUCACCGUCGAUUGACACUUCAAAAUGAAUAAAACCCUCCGCUUCGUCACAUGAAUCUCCAUCUGCUUUGAAAAUUACACACAGAACCAAAGCUGGUAUGUUCUUAUCUAAAUUGUGACGAAACCUAACACUCAUUGAACUUCUCGUAGUUUGUUUGUUGCAGUAUUUUGGAAUCUCAUUGUUUGUUAUGAAGAGCACUUUUGUUGAGUCACUAAAUUCAGCGUCCUAAGGGAUUAAGAGUUAAUUGGCAUUAAAUAAGAGAACAUAUAUAACAUUAGAUAUUAUGAUAUGAACAAAUAGAAAUUAGAUGAAAGGAGAGGAACCUGUUUUCCGAACAUCAUAUCAGCAAUGCAAUCAGGACGUAUAGCCAACAAUUCGCUACCACUGGCAUUCACCCGAGCUAAAUGAUGGGGAAGCUUUAUUAUAUUUUGAAGAAACUUGCAAUUCCUUAAUUCAAGAAACCUUAAUGACUUAAAAUUUUGGAGAGAGGGUAGACAAGAGAAUGUGUUUCCUGACAAAUUUAGCUUCUCCAAGGAAGUGCAGACAUUAGAUAAUGUUUCGAGGAAAUCAGAAUUUGAUAUAUUACAAUUUUUGAGAUCCAAUACCGUCAGCUUGAAAUAUGAGCUUUCUUGGGAAAAAUUUAAGCUUGAUCUCGGGGGAAACAUGUCGAGUUUAGAACACCCGCGAAGAUGAAGUUCCUCGAGACUUUUUAGCCAAUGAAUUUCAUUUGGAAGGGCAGUCAGGUUUGCACAAUCAUUAAGGUUUAAAUUCUCGAGCCCAAUAAGAUAUCCAAUUGAUGAAGGUAACACCCUUAUGGCUGUACCGUUCAAAUUCAUCACCCUUAAAGAUUUCAUGUUUUCAUCAAAUUCUGGAAGUUGUUCAAGCUUGUAACAAUUAGUGAAACUCAAAGAAUCAAGAGACUUCAACUUCAGGCUGCUAGGAAGCUUUUCUAGGUUAUGGCAUAAAUCGAGUUGUAAGGUGAUAAGUUUAUCAAGAGACCCAAUAGACUCGUGAAUUAUUCUUAAAGAGAAGCAAGUAUUGAGAUCUAAUAUCUCAAGGUUUGAUGCCAUUGAAAAGUCAGUAAUUUCUUCAAGAUUUAGACAAUCCCGUAGAUUCAGAACUUUAAGAGAUUUGAACUUCAGGUGGCUUGGAAACUUUCUAAAAGAGCUGUCAAAAAAAGUUUCAAGCUUUAGACAUGAAGCGAGAUUCAAAAGUUCAAGAGACUCUAACUUGUUGGUGUAAAUUGGUAGCCUUUCAAGGUUUUUACAGCCUUCCAGAUCCAAGAUAAUAAGCUUAUCAAGAGAACGACCAAUAGAGUCGUGAAUUAUUCUCAAACGGUCGCAUUCCCUGAGAUAUAGUUCCUUAAGGUUUGAAGAUGCAGACAAGUCAGGAAUUUCUUCAAUUUUUCUGCACCUACUAAGAUUCAAAACUUCAAGAGAUUUUAACAUGAGAUAGCUGCUUGGAAACUUUUCUAGGUUGUCACAACCUUCAAGGUCCAAUGUAACAAGCUUACUAAGAGAAGCCACAGACUCGUGAAUCACUUUCAAACUCGUGCAUCCCCUAAGAUAUAAUUUCUCAAGGUUUAAUGUGGCAGAGAAGUUGGGAGUUUCCUUUAACGUGCCACAAUAACUCAGAUCAACAUGCUUCAUUGUUUUACAAUUCUAAAACAAAUGGGAAAAAAAAUCAUUAAAUAAACUUCCAAAAAAUCACACACAAGUAGAAGCAGUACUAAAAUUUACCUCAAAUGCAAUCCUUGGCUGUUUGUUGACUACACCUUUCAUAACUAGUCCGACAAGCCGACCUUUCACAGAAAAACUUAUGGACGAAGACUGGUUAACAUAAAAUGUAGACCACUCAAUCCACUUCAACGAAUUAGGUAAAUACUCAAAUAUAUUUUUAGGGAAGUAUGCUACUCUUUGAAGGAUAAGCAAUCUAAGAUUUUUCAUGUUUCUAAAUGCUUCUGCUUCAACAAUUUUCAGCCAAGGUUUGUAGUGCAAGUCUAACUUUAUGGCUUUAACUGCUUUAGUUCCCUACAAGGUUAUAAAUCAAGUAAUUUUACAUUAUUAACAAAUAAUUACCGACCGAUUUGACUUGCAUUAUGUUUUAAUUUCAUCACAGUAUAUAUCUUUGGCAAUAAGUAAAUAAAAACAUUGUCUAAAGUCACUCACAGAUUUCUCUUUCAAUAUCUUGAUAGCUCCUUCUGCCUCCCACAACCUACUCCUUUUUGCAGGCUCAAAAGAUUCAUGGCGAACAAUUGUUUGACCCAUUUGUUGUAUUAAAUCAUGCAUUUGUAUCUUUCCAUCUUCAACAGUAACAAGGGAAAGAUCCAUAAGAAUUAUAAUUCCAUAGUCUGGAUUGAGAUCACAUGCCUUUAACACAUCCUUACUGUAGUUAAUAUCCUCUCCCACGAAAAAGCAAGAAAUAUCAAGAAAAAUCUCCUUCACUCUUUCGUGAAGCUCCUUAAAACCUAUUUGAAAAACAGCUUCAACACUUGGUUCGAGGGAAUUUUCAAGUUCAUGUAAUUUACUUUUCCAUAUUUUUCGCUCUCUCUUAUGGAGAAGAGAACCCAAAAUAACAAGAGCCAAUGGAAGACCUUUGCAAUAACUUACAGCAAAUUUUGAAAGGUCUACAUAAUUACUUGAGGGAUGAUUUUGCUUAAAAGCAUGCAGGCUAAAAAGCUCAAGGGAUUUCUUAGGAUCCAACAACUGAAUAGGAUAUACUAUAUCAAAUGAAUGGUUUUCUAGUAAAUGUCGAUCUCUUGUUGUUGCUAUGAUUUUACUUCCUCGACCGAACCAAUCACGUUCACCAACUAGUGCGUCUAAUUGUUCAUCCUUAUCCACAUCAUCAAGAAUGAUAAGAACUUUCUUUGAGCAUAACCGAUCCCUAAUGAUAUUCUUUCCUUUAUGAACGUUGCCCACCUUCCAAGCAUUAUCUUUUAAGAUCUCACUGAGUAGUUUUUCUUGUAGUUGAACCAGGUCUUUGAAUUGCUCUAAGGUUUCUCUAACAUUCGAAAGAAAGCAACAAGCUUCAAAUUGAUAAGCGAUUUUGUUGUAUAAAGCUUUGGCCAGAGUGGUCUUACCAAUGCCUCCCAUCCCAUGUAUCCCCACCAUGUUAACACCAUCGGGCACAUCAUGGGAGGCCAAUUCCUCAACAGCUCUAAGUUGAGAAUCAAUUCCAACUGGAUGCUUGGCUACAUGUAGUAGUUGUGUUUGAUUUAAUAUAGACAACACCUCCUUAACAAGGUCAUGAAUAAGAUCAGCCUCAUUCUUCCUGUAAUGAUUGAGCACAUCAUACACAAAUACAAGUAGACGAAGUUAAGAAACACAGUAGGGAACAAUAAUAAGAAUUAAGAAACAUAGUAGAUGAAGUUAAAUUCAUUAUAACAUUAAAUUUUUCAAUAACAAAAUUAGAUUGGUCAACAUGGCACUCACACAUUUCUCUUUCAAUAUCCAUUUUGUGUUUUUUGUUUGAGGUUUUCAUUGGGUGUUUUUUGUUUUAGGUUUUGAAAAUUAAGCCUAUCUUCUUCCAAUAUCUUAUUAUUAUUGCAUCUCUUAUCGCAAUGGUUGAAUAUUAUUAUCGAAGUUUUAAAAACAAAAAUAAGUUUUUAAAAUCUACUUUAUUUAGUUUUCAAAAUUUGGCUUGAUUUUUAAACGAUUGGAAAAAGUUGAUAACAAAGCAAGAAGUUUGGAGGUAAAAUUGUUAUACAGGCUUAUUUAUGAUAGAAAACUAACCACUUCUCUUUUUUUUUAACUGUUUGAGGAAUCAACUUGCAUAAAACGAAUUGUUUACCUUGAACAAGGUAAUUUUAAUUCAUCUCAUCGUUAACCUUGAAAACUGUUAAAACUAACUUAAAAACUAAAAAAAACUAAAAACAAUGAUACCAAUCAAUCUGUUUUCUUAAAAGUCGUUUUUUUUCUUAAUGUAUUUGAUAUUUUUUUGUAAUCUAAAGGGUAAAAUAUAAUUUCACUCCUAAAAUAAAUUCACUACCUUUUAGAAUAAUGCAUGUAAAAAAUACCUAGUUGCUAAAUCCCAACCAGACAAAGAAGCAGCAGUGGUCAAAGCUUCCUUCCAUGGUUGAACCUUGUUGGUCAUUAACUCAUUAGCUUCAUGUUUGGCCAAUGCUUCACCAAACCCACCAGUUUGUUUUCGAACCUCAGAUGGAUCCACCUUGUUAAGAAAUUAAUCAACAAAUUAAUAAAGAUAAACCCGUAAAGCAAUGGAGACUAUGAUACAGAUUUAUAUGAUUUAUUAUCAGUGGUGGCUAACUCCACAGGUAGAGGGAGGGAGCAAUUUUAUUAGAAAGAAAAUUCAUAUUACACAUCAAAUGUGCUUCUAUGGUUGGAGUGUUAGUGGGCUUCUCUAAAACGUUAGGGUCAAAAUCAUAGAUAACAUAACUAUAUAAAAAAUACGAAUUCAGAUAGUCCAACAAAUUAAACCUUGUAGAAGACAGGAAAAACUAUAUGUCCCAUGGAUUUCAUGCACUGAACUAUUUUCACCAGUUCAUCCAAACACCAGGUGGAAGAUGCAUAAUUUUUGGAGAAAAUAAUGAUGGAAAUUUUAGAACCAUCAAUAGAUUUGAGAAGGGAUUCAGAAAUUUGACCACCCCUCUCUAGCUUGUCAUCUAUGAAGAAAUUGACACCCUUUUCACGCAAGGCCCUGUCAAGAUGACUAGUGAAGUUGUUUCGAGUAUCCUCACCUCUGAAACUCAAAAACACAUCAUAACUCCAUUUCAAAUUUGAAGAACAAGACGAUGAUGAUUGUGCUAAACCAACCAAAGAAGAACCCAUCCGAAUUUUGAAAAUCCUGAAGUAAGAAUCCAGCCAAGGGAUGAGAAUGAAGAACAAAAUGGUUGUUUCUUUUCCCAGUGAACAAAUAAAUUACAAUAAUUUAUGCAAGUUAAAUUAUUAAAUUUUAAGCAAUUUGCAUCUAUUGCAGCACAAGGUUUAACCAACUAGUAUACAUAUAUGUUCAAGUCCACCUUUUCCAUGUUAAAAAAAAAAAAACGGUCAACUAUUUGUAUCUAUACUUUCUAUUUUUAACAUUUAAAAACUCAGAAGCAUCAACGUCAAGUUCGCUUAGAAGUUAGAACAUUUCCACUUUAUGUUCAAAUACUUCCUUCUUCUACAAGAUAUAUAUAUACAAAUAUAAUGAUAAUAAAAAGUUCUAUCUACAAAUAACAUAAAAUAAUAUUUUGUCUAACUAGACCACCAUAAAAUUAAUAAAUAAGAAGUGACAAAUUCAUUAGUUUUUCAACUAACAGAAAUAUCUAUGGAAAUUGUUUUGGGUCUUCAAGUUUAUCAUAACCUAAUUAUUUCUCUGACAUGUUCCCUUCAGGAUACAACAAGAAAAGUUGUGUAACUCAAACCAAUUUUCACUUAAAGAUCGUAUUUACCUUGGCCAAUUUGCUUUUAAAGAGAGAUAAUGAGAGAAAAAAAGAGGAAGAUGUAUUUAUAUAAUACUAAUCUUUGUUAGUGUAAAAUUGCGAGAAUAUGGUAUGUGAUGUAUUGAUAGUACUCAUCUUUGGAUAUUGAAUAUUUAAUUCAAAGCUAGGUAAUAAAUGUAUACUUGUUUAACAUUUCUUGAAAUUGCAUUUUUUUUCAACUUUUUAACGAAGAAACACGUACUAGAUUACAUAUGGAAGAGAAGUUUGCGAAAAAUAAGUCACGAUUAAUUAAUUGACGGCUUAAGUUAAAGCUCAUAGUCAAUAAUUGGAGUAACAGCAUGAGAAAAGACAAAAUAGAACACUAGCACGUUGGUAACCUAGUUGGAUGACACAUCAUCUACAUUUAAUUAGGAGAUUUUUAGCCUGAUUUAAAAUAUCAUUUUAUAAAUAUUAAAGAGGAUCAUAAGUACAUAACUUAUCCAAGAACCAACUAUCUUGAAUCAUAUAUGACUUUUACAAGAUAAACGUUUAUGUUUGCCCUAAACCACUUGAUGUGUGAACAAGGAAUUCGAUCUAGACUCCUCUAGAUCAUAUGUUGCAUGCAUCAUCCUUGCAUCUCAAUGUGCAGGCUCCCCUGUGAAAUGCCACAAACAAAGUGUUCAACAUCACACACCACAGAAACGGGGUACUUAGUGAAAAACUUUCUCAACACAUAAUUUUGCUGCACAUUUGUUACACCUCUAUCUUCAACCACAUGCAGCAAACAUCACACGGCCACAAUCUUAUAUUUUUUAGGUAACACGUCAUAACAAAACAAAUGCCCAACUCUAUUAAUUUAUUAAUAAAUAUUAACCAACUUAAAAAAGUAUAUAGUAACAACCACAACCAACGGAAUAUCUUUAUUAAUAAUAUAAUAUUAGUCAUAUAUUUAUUAAAAAAUAUUAGCAAACAUAACAAUCAAAUCUUCAAAGUCAACGAGAUAUCUUUAUUAAUAAAUAUUAUCCGUAUAUUUAUUAAUAAAUAUUAACCAUAUAUAUUAAGAAAUUAAGCUCCAAUUUUUCCUACCUCAGUUACAAAGUUAAAGCUGAAAUGGGUGAUUCCUAAACAUUGUAAAUAUGAAAAUCACAACCUAAAUCUUUAACAAAUCUAACUCCUUUACUCCUCAAUUCAAUUAGAAUCAUUGUUGUCAUUAUUAUCACUAGGAGUAGAGGAACCAAACUUAGAAGUUCGUUCGUGAAGGACGACUGGGCACGAAGGGCAGCACGAAGACACACACAAUUUGCUCGGCAGUGGUGGUUCGAUGAUGGAAGAGAGUGAUUAAGAAGAGAGGGUUUGGGUGAGAAGUUUAGAGUGAGAUGAGAUGAGAGGGAAGAAGAGUGAGUAAAGUGAUUAGAAGAGAAUUAAUUUUUUUAAAAAAAGAUUAAGGAUAGUUUUAAUGUCAGUUUUAAACCGACAUUAAUUCUUCCUUUUUGAUGUUGGUUUAAAAUCGACAUUAAACAUUUGCAUUUUUAAAAUCUGAUAUUAAACAUCUGUUUUCAUUUUUUUCAACUGACAUCAUAGGGCAAAUUUCUUCUAGUGAUACCAAUUUUAAUUCUAACUUCCCUAAGCAGGUGUUUGCGGCGAGGAGUGACUUGUAAUAGUUCUGAGAAUUAUAAUAAUUUGAGUAUUAUAGUAGUCUGCAUUUAGGAUACAGACUAUUAUAGUCUGCGUUUCAGGUGCAACCUAUUAUAGUUUGUGUUUGUGGUGAAGAUUAUUAUAAUUAUUUGUAUAAUUAUAAGCUGUGUUUAGGGUGGAGACUAUUAUAACUUGGGUUUUUUGCUACUUUUUUUUUCUUCCUUAAAUUGAUUUUAUUAAAUCUUUUUAAUUAUGAUAUUCAUUUAAUAAAUUUAGCCUCAAUCUUGAUUUUUCAUUACUUUUGUUUUCUACAUGUAUACUCUACAUGAAAUACACAUUUUUCUUAAAUUAACUUUAUUAAAUCUUUUUAACGUGUGAUAUUCAUUUCAUAAGUUUAGCCUCAAUCUUGAUUUUUCAUUACUCUUUUUUUUCUACAUACAUAUUGUACAUGAAAUACAUGCACGAAGGAGUGAGAGGGGAAGUGAGAAGAAUUAGGGGAGGGAAAUACGAGGAUUAUGGAAACCCUAAUACUAGAAUUUCCAUAAUUCGGGUCUCAAACAAGGAGUGAGUUAUUUUAGCCAACUCUACUCCAUGCAAAUAUGUGGCCCUAAUAAUUUCCUCAUAUCUUUACAUUAUGGGUAAUUAUAAUUUGUGACAAUUUUAGGAAUAAUAAUUAAAUAUCUAGCAACAUUUUUUUAAAAAAUUGCAUAUAUGGCAAAAUCUAUUAAUGAUAGACCAAUAUUUGCUACAUGAUCUAACAGAUGUUGCUAUAUUUACAAAUACCAACUCAAAACGCUCAUCCCUACUCUACCUCACUCUAAUACCCACCCUAAAUGUCUCAUAAGAAUUUAGAAAGUGUUCAUAUGAGUUAAUAACAAGAUGUAUAUAGAAAAUGUUCAUAGUAAGUGAGAGAAGGAUGUGUGUCAAUGUGUCAUACAAUCUUCUCUAUCUAGAGAUGUUUAAAAAAACCCAUGGGGUUGGGGUCCCGCCAGGUGCCAGCUCGAAAGAGGUGGGGAUUUCCUAUUUACAUAGGAAAUAGGGGAGGGAGUAGGGAAUGUUUUCCCCAUUUUCAAUUCGAGACCAAGGAUAGAGAUUAUAUUCCCCAUCUAUAAGACCCAAACUUAAAUUAAAAGUUAAAAGACAAAAUUUUGACUAAGUAUGUAACUUGACCUUUUGGAUAAGAAGGCGUUUUAGUUUGAGAAAAGCACUCACAAAACUUUACAAAAGAAGUUCUUCUUCUUCUCACAAGCCCCUUCUCGUGUAGCUAAACUAGCAAUACUUCAACAUUUCAACAAAACUUCCAUCUUCCCCUCCUUAGUUGCCCAAAUCCUCUUAUUUAUAGAACCCUUAAACUAACUUAGUCAUUUAUAAACUCUUCUCAGUUCAUUAACUCCUGCUUAAAAAUUUACAUGUAUAAAUUUAGUAUUCAACCUAGCCAUGCUUAAAUUCUUAAUCUUACAUAAUCCCUGUCAAAUCAAAUUUUACAUUUUCUACGCCAGACCUUGCUUCUCGCCAAACUCGAACCGCGAAUAACUUCAACCACUUAACAUUUCUCGUGAAUAACCUUAUCGCAUGGUUAUAUUUUUACUAUAAGAAACCUUCUUGCAAACUAACCAACUUUUACUCGCAUGGAACUCUUAUCGCGAACUUAAACUCUAAGGCUUUCUUGCAAACUUCUUCUCCACGAAACACUUGGUUCUUCUCGUGAAGACCACCCAAAAUGCCUAGUCUAACACUUUGUCAAAACUUUUACUUCUUAACUUACGCGAAUAUUUUUUCUCUUCUUAUCACACAACUUCUUUCGCGAACUACGCACUUAAUCGCAAAAACGUAUACUUAUCCAUAAAAGAUUCUAUCGCUUAAUCCUUUUCGCAAAUUUAUUCAAACGCCAACUUCUUAAUAGUACUUUAGCCGAAUUUUACUUUCUUACUCAAAUUAGAAAUGGGUCUCACAAGUGGAAUGAUUUGAAGUUAACGAAUGUUCAUUAGCUCGGUUUAAAGAGUUUAGCUAGUUAAUCUUGGAUCGUUGGAGUCCAUGAUCUAUAAGUCCAUUAGGAUCCCCUACUAGCUCAUAUGGAAUAUACUUAUAAUAGUAUAUAAGAUUAAUUCAAAUUAUUUGAAUUAAGAAAGGAGAGUAAAAUCGAGUAUAUAUGGUAUAGUUGUUGGUUCGUUUAAGUGAAUAUUUAACUAAUUAGUGGAUUUGAGUGUUGGUCGAAUUCGGUAUUUUGGUUUUAGACACCUUAUUUAAAGUUAUGUCUCAUUUGUUUAUCUUUAUUUCUUUAAAGAAUUGUCAGAACCCGCGAGUCACAUUUUCAAAUUAUUUUUAUUGAUUUUGUCAAUUUUAUGUUUUCAAAUAUUUAUUAAUAUUAAUUUUAGAAAAAAUUUAGUUUUUCCCUUUUCAAGAAAGUGUAUUUUGAUAUUUAUUGUUUGAGUAAUAACCUUAGCUUAGUUUAAAAAUUUGGAUUGUUACACCUAGCUCACUAACAUAUAAUGUUUAAUGAGGUGUUGGAGUUUGGUGAAUAAUUACAUACAAUUGUUAUAUGUAAUUUCUUUUUUUAAGGUGGGCAUUUUCAAAUGUUUAAAAAAGUUUUUGAUAAUUUUGUCUAUUUCCCCCUUAAUAUUCAUCAAAAGAAAAAAAAAAAACACCAAAUCUCUUAGAAGCUUAUAUUAUCCUCCUCUUUUCAUCUCUCUCUCAUUUUAAUCCUUCACUCAUCGGGUCCCAUAGCCCGAUUCUAAGUCUAGAAGAUAGUCGGUAUACUCUAGUGGCAGGUUGGUGUCGAUUUCGUACAAAAUCCACAAAUAAUAAAAAACAACAAAGGUAUAAUUUUUAUUAACCCUAGUUAAGUAAAUUAGGGUUCUUGGACAUUGAUUCUUAUUAAUUUAGAUGCAAUUAUAGUGUAAUUAUAUCUAUUUUCCGCUGAGUAUGUCUAGACUUCUAUUAUUUUGUGGCGAGUGGUUGAACUUGAACGCCUAGUCCCUCAAAUGGGCUCUUAGUAAAGUUUUUUUCACCUCAAAGUUAUUCUUUCCUCAAGUCCUAAGUUGGCUAACUCUUCACACACACUUCCUUAGUUCUUUUACCUAGUACAAAGCACACGUAAUGACCCAACUCUUUAUACUGAGCUAAAGUCAUUACCAAUAAAACAAAUAAAACUUUUUUAUUUAAAAUAAAAGAAAAUACUAAGUUUUAAAAGAAACACUUCAAAUAUUAAAUCAUAAAAUAUAAGUAAAGUAUGUAAAGAAAAUAAUAAAUGAAACAUUAGUUCGGGCCCUAUUUAAUUUUUUUUAAAAAAAAAUCUCUAAAAGUAAACAUGAGUUCUGAAAAAUAAAUACUGAAAACAAUAAAUGCAGAACAAAACUUAUAAUGUCCUCUAUGGCAAACCACAGUCACUUCUUGUCAUUCUUCAUCUUGUCUUUACCUUUAUCUUUGCAUGAAAAAUUUAACCAUAGAAAAGAAUUAAUAUAAAUUUAUACUCAGUAAGGAACCCACUAUUAGUCUCGCUACGUGUCUAUUAACUUUUCGUUAGAGUCCUGUAAGAAAGUACCGCAUAACUAUUGUGCAUGCUAUCUAGUGAUCCCGUAGGAAAACAUCUGGGCUCUCAGUGAAUCACGAAUGAAUCACCCUAAAGGAGAGUUGGAUUGUAAGUGAUCCCGUCGAAUCACACAUAAAAGUUGGCCACACAUGCAUAAAUAUGUGGUGAUCUCGAGGGACACCCAUAUGAUACGACUCUAACAGACAAAGCUAACAGAACACCAUAGCCUCAUGUAUAUUAUAACAUAAAUAUUACAGCUCAGUCAACAUAUUUCAAUCAUAGCAUGUCUCAUUCAUAAUGUAUCUUGGUCAAAUCAUAUCUCAGUCAUACAUAACAGUCAUCUAUGUAGCCACUCAUAACAAUCAUCUCUAAUACCCAUAUUAUGCAUCUUAGCUACAUUAAUGCAUAAUAAGAAAUAUACAUGCAAGCAGGUGAAUGUAUAAUAGAAUAAUCUCUUACCUAGAGAUUAGCUAAAAAAAAUAUUGUCCCUUCCUAAACACAACAAAAUUAAAUUUAUUAAUUUUGUCAAUAUCACCCAACUACUUAUACUUAAUCAUUCAAACUUAUCCAACUUACCAAAGCUAAGGUUGAAACCGACACAACUUUGAGUGUAAAUUUCGUCGCCUUAAAUCCUCAAAUUAACACUUGAACCUUCACGUAAAAAUAACUCAACUCAUUCCCAACGAAAACUUACCAAACCCAACAAAACUUACCUAAAAGACUCAAGUAGGAUGAAAUGGUUGACUUAAAGAGGGCAGCUCGCGAUUGGAAGAGAGUGGAAGCUGGAGGAUGGUUCACGCGGCUAAAAGACGGCUCGAAAUGGAAGGUGGUCAACUUAGACGACUACGACUUGUGAAGGAGGAACGCACGACUCGGACUUGAAGAGGCUUUGGCCGGAGAGGUAACACAGACGAGAAGACGACACGACUGGAGAAGAUCAGCUCGAACAGAAAAGCUUUGGCUCGCGUACAAAGGGUGUUCCAAUCAACGAUGAGCGCAUACAUUUCAGCUUCUCCGUCCGAUGUGCAUAAAAAUAUUUAUGCGUCAGGGCAAAUAUGUCGGGAGAGGAACUCCCAACUCACAACUUGUUGUGCGUCGGAAAUUCCUAAACCCAACAUUGUAUGAACGUCAAAGAUGUUGUCAAUAUAGUGUAGGAAGUUCCUACGAACUCCCGACGCAAAUGUGUAGGAACUCCCAACACAAAUGUGUGGAAACUCCCGACGUAAAUGUGUAGGAUCUUCAUUUGCGUCAGGAGUUCUCUAUUUUUCUUUUUUUAAAAAAAUAUCUUCCAUCUCAAGUUCAACACUUGAAUCUCAAAUUCACCACUUCAAUCUUAACUUCAACACUUCAAUCUCAAAUUCACCACUUCAAUCUCAACUUCAACACUUCAAUCUCAAAUUCAACACUUCAAUCUCAACUUCAACACUUCAAAUUCAAAUUCCUAAAACCUACAAACUAAUCCAAAAAUUCUAACAACACUUCAAAUUCAGAUACAAUACUAAAACGUAUAACUAAUUCAAAAUCUAAAUACUAAAACUAAUUUGAAAUCUAAAACCUAAAACUUAAAACUAAUUUGAAAUCUAAAUACUAAAACUAAUUAACUAAAACAAAAGAAUAACUAAACUAAACCACUUACCGGAAUGAAGAGUGACGACGAGACGACGACGAAUGGUUGGACAAGGACAACGGCGACAAAUGCCCUCUUCUUCUCGAUCUCCCUCUCUCUCUCUCUCUCAGUUUUCUUUCUCUUUUCUGUUUCUAUUUUGUAAAGAAUUGAGUUAAAAAAGACGGUUAACUCCCGACACACAACGAAAACGUCAGGAAAUGGGCCCUUAUUCUCUACGCGAUUAGUGACACAUCGGGAAUCCCUAAACCUUAUUCUCGACGUUGUUGACACCACGUUGGAGGAAGACAUAACGUACAAUUAAUGAUAUGUCCUUCCUCCGACGCAACACUAUAGACGUCGGGAAUAGGUGCACAUUUCCCGAUGCACCUGGCACCACGUCAGAGGAAGGUCAAAUGGUACAAUUAAUUGUCCACCCUCUUUCGACGCUACACUUUCCAUGUUGGGAAUAGGGGUCCAUUUUUCGACGUACCUCAUACCACGUCGGAGGAACCUUAAACCAUUACGAUAGUUUCGAUGCUAAUAUGUCUGCGUCAAGGGAAAUACCCUUCCUCGACGUGCACUAAGAUGCACCGAAAAACACCUACUUCUACUGACGUCAUGUUUCUCGAUGAUUUUUUCUGCGUCGGAAAACAUCUAAUUUCUUGUAGUGAUAUCAUUCAUUUGAAACCAAAAGCAUGAAGUUUACAUUAGGGAAUUUAAAGAAUUCUUAUGCUAAAUUAGCCUAUUCAUAGGCUUCUUUGAAAUUUGUUUGUCACCACCUACUUAAUUAAGUUGAUGCUUAACCUUAGUUGGCUAUGUGUCCCCACUAAACCGACUUAAGAGGUUUAGCUCAACAUCUAGCCUACCAACUUACUUUGGUCGCCUUGUCCACGUCUUACACCAUUGGCCGCAUAGUCUCGUUUAAGUCAGCUAACCCUCAUGUGGCAUGACCCUUCCUCCUUCCAAAUUGGCCACCUAGUAAGCAUAUCCUCCUAACUUUAAUCUCUUUGAAGAUACUUAGCCUUGUGCCAUAGUCCUCACUUUGGUCUCCUAACUCACAUACUUAGGCCGCCUAAGAGAUACUUAGUCCCAGCACAACCUUCAUAGUAUGAUCACCUAACACUCCAAGGACCUAGCAUCUUCUUGGUCGUUCAACUUUGUUUUGGUUGCCCUUUGGCUAUUCACUUUGAAUGUCAUUAGCCAACAUCUUGACUACAUACUUAGCCAACUCUAUACUCUUGAUCACUCUUUGUUAACAAUACAUGUCAUCAACCUAUAUAUAUAUAUAUAUAUAUAUAUAUAUAUAUAUAUAUAUAUAUAUAUUUAUUUAUUUAUUUAUUUAUAUUUAUAUUUAUUAUUUUACCUUGCUAUGGAUGUUAACACAAUUUGUCUGUUCUAUUUUAUUUUAUUUGACACUUCUGAUUUGUUUCAAGAUUUUAAUUUUUUUUAAAAAAAUAAAAAUAGUAAAGGGUAGAAAAACCCGAAGGGAUGCGGGAGAUUUGUGUUUUGGAGGAAAAAGAGAAUAAACUUAGUUUUUAGUAAGGGUGUAAGAAUAUGAGUUGAACCCAAAUAACCCAGACUAUCCAACCCAUAUUAUAAGAGUUGGGUUAGGUUAGGUUAAAAAAUUUUGAUUUUUUUUUGGUCUGGUUGGGUCUCGGGUUGGAGGUUUGAAAAAUUCGGUUUAACCCAACCCAACCUGGUCUUUCUCCCAUCGCACGCGCCGCUCACCUUUCUUCACUAUCUUCAAUUCUUCUCUUCUAUCUCACCCCAGUCUUCGAUCUUCUCCCUCACAAUCGCGUCGUCCACCUCUGUUUCCGACGGUUGAUCAUCUCCCUCUUCGGUUUCCUCUCUCCCUCUUCGAUCUUCUCCCUUACAAUCGUGUCAUCCACCUCCAUUUCCCUAAACCCUAAAAAAAAAAGACAUAUAUCAAAUCCAACUCAUAUUUUACGGGUUAGGUUGAAAACUAAAUUCGGGUUGUCAACCCAUAUAACUCAAAAAUAUGGAUUGGGUUGAGAAUGUCUCCCAACCCAACCUAACCCGAUUACAUCCCUAGUUUUUAGAUUUAUAUGAUAAAUGUGAUGAUAAUGUUCCUAUAUUUGCAUAAAAAGUUUAUAAAAUAAAUUAAUAAGAAUUCAUGAUUAUUUAUCAAUCUUAGUAAUACAAUGGAUCUAGAUCCAAAUCAUUCAAAUAUAGAAAUACAUCUUAACCAAUUAAGAGGAUUCUAACAACAUGGAUAGAAGUAAAGUAAGACUUUUUUUUUUUUUUUUUAAAUUUAAAAAAAUUUAGAAAGCAACGUAAAGCCAAAAUACGAUUUUAAUUUCUACUUUUUUAUAAUUGACUGACCGGUUGUUUUGGUGUCCAGAUAGAGAAAUUCGACUAAACUCAACCUGGUUUAAUAUAUAUACUUCUUAGGGUUUUGACAUUUCCCUCCAUUUCGUCCUCUGUUCACUCCCAACCCAAAACGCCGUUCUCCGCCAAUUGCCGCCGACCACGCCGUGCUCCUUUCAAUUCAUUGUCCGUCGUCUUGAGCGUGGGCGUCCGUCGAACUGCACCCCAGUCAUCCACCGUUUGCCCUUCGUUGCACCUCCGCUCGCUGGCGCGUACUUUCCAAUUUCUUUUAGUUUUGAGUACAUUAUUCGUCAGUCACCAUAAAGAAUCAAAACUGCUGAUGGACCCGACCCCUCCACUCCGUAGCACUGCAGCCCCCUCCGCGAAUUGCGUUCCAUCUGUAGCAACUGAACGCGAUGCCCUAUUUCCUAAUUCCACUCUCUAGGUAUUUAUUUCUUUCAAUGUUCGACCACGCUAGCAAAUUCUGCAGUCUUUUGCUUUGAAAUUGAAUUAGUUUUUUAAUUUUACUUAUCUGUAUAUAUCAACUGAUUAGAUCCAUUGGUUGUUAUGACCUUACUCUUGUUGUUUCCGAACUUAACCCUGAAUGUCAAUCCUCAAGCAGGUUGAAUAAUUUGAAUUUUUAAUCUUAAGGACAUUCUCCUUUGAAAUUCAGGCAAACAAUCCGUAGAAUGAUCCUGUUUUGCCUUGGCCGAUGACUGUGUGAGGUUUUCUUUUAUGGCUGAAGCUUAAAUUCGGUGUCUAGCCUGUUUCUUUGAGUUGUUUUACAUUCUUUAACCAAGAAAAUGGAAUCCAGUGCAACUCCUGGACCAGAUGAUCCUUUAAUUCUCAAAGAGCAAGAUAAUCACAUUUCAUCAGACAUUUGGGAUGGAAAGGUAAUAGACUUUUAGAUUUUUUGGAGCUUUGAUCAAUGAUAUUGUAUCCAUUUUAUAACCCAGUAUAUAUAUGUGUGUUUUUGUGUAUACAUAGGUUGAGAUAUAUUUUUACUGUUAUGCAUUUAAAAAAUUGCAGGAAAGAGGUGUGCUUAGGUGUCUAGAGCAUACUUCCAUUCUUGAGAGAUGGAAACUUACAGGAAAACAGAUUGAGCUAGUUGAAAAGGCUGGAUUCGGGUAUUUGAGAUUGAUGCCAGCUGUAACCCUUGACUGUGCGCUUAUCUCAGCAUUAGUGGAGAGAUGGAGAAAGGAAACAAAUACCUUUCAUUUUUCAGUUGGAGAAAUGACAAUAACACUUGAAGAUGUUGCUCUUCUACUCGGAUUGUCAAUUGAUGGAAAACCUGUUACAGAUGUGGAUGUUGACCCCAAGUCACUUUGUGAAAAUUUACUCGGGAAAGCUCCAACAGAUUUCAAGGGUGCUGUGAAAUUAACUUGGUUGAAGGAGGUUUUCUCUGAAUGCCCCGAAGAUGCAGGGAUCGAACAAAUAGAGUAUUCUACUCGUGCAUAUCUCUUAUACUUGUUAGGCAGUACUAUAUUUGCCUCAACAAGUGGGAACAAAGUUAGUGUCAUGUACCUUUCACUAUUCAAGGAUUUUGAUGAAGCUGGGAAGUAUGCUUGGGGUGCUGCUGCUUUGGCUUUCUUGUAUAGAGCACUAGGCAAUGCUUCUCUUAAAUCUCAGCGCACUAUUAGCGGUUCUUUAACACUUCUGCAGGCAUGUAAGCUUGUUGCUCUUUUCUUUUAGUGUUCACGAAUGUUGGUAACUUAGGGUCAAUGCGACUAUCAUUAUCUUGCAUCUCUGAAAUGUCGUGUUCUCAUUAAAAUGCUGACACCCUAUCUGGAUUUUUUUUCCUCACCUACAUAACAGUGUUGGAGUUAUUAUCACUUGAAUAUUGGCCGGCCCAAAUUAAAAAAGGAUCCAGAGAAUUGUUUUCCGUUUCUACUUAAAUGGACGGAAAAUAGAAGUGGUUCCCGAAUGGGAAUAAAUUUGCCCACAUACCGUAAGGCCUUGGAUUCUCUUCAGCCCUCUGAUGUAAGUUUCCUAUAAUACUUCAGUAUUUCCCCCUUCUGUAUAAUAGAAGAUUGUAUGACUUUUUUGUUUAUUCAAUAUAUAGGUACAAUGGCUUCCCUACAAGGAUAUGGACUUUUCUGUUGUACCAGAAGAUAUCAAGAACAGUUUGGUCUUGCGCACGUCAAGAACAAUGCUAAUUUGUUUUGAUAAGGCUGAGAAACAUCUUCCAGACCGAUGUUUGAGACAGUUUGGCCUGCCUCAACCUAUUCCGAAGGACAUUGAGGAUUGGAAGCGGAAAAUUUCUUCAAUGGAUAGCAAGGAGGAACUGCCACCAGAGCUCAAAGAAUGGUCAGAGAGGUAUGAAUUUAUCAAUAAUGGUGUUGAUAGUGUAGACGAAAGUGAGUAUCUGCAAUGGUAUGAAAAGAUCACCCGCAAAUUUGUUGGACGAGCCGAAUCGUGGGAGUCAAGAUUUAGACAAACAAUUAAGGCUAUGCAUGAAGUUGUGAAGAUAGUAAAUUCAAUCUCCACGAAUGGGAUGGAUCGAGAGGAUCGCAAGUUAUUCAGUAAUGUGAGAACUAUGGUACAGAAAUGUUGGACUGAAAAAUACGCUGAUUCACCCAGUGAAGGGGAUAGGGAUAGUGCAAAACGUACUGGGAAACGUAAGAGAGAAGGUUAAUCAAAUAUUGAUGAUGGUUAGUCUCCAUUCCCCUCUAAAAGCCAGGGUUCUAUUGCACUUUCAAAUAUUGUUAUUCAGUAAAGACCCAGAAAAUGCCAGUGUGGAAACAUUUUGACACUUGAUAAAUGUAUGAGGCAGUUCUUGGGAUGGCUCAGUUUAUAAAAUCUUAAUUUGCCUAUGCUCUCCGGACGAACAAUGGAGCUGGGGCAAUUGGGAUAUUCCUACAAGAGUUUUCGGGCAAUUGGGAAUCAGUAGACUUCAGUAGACGUUUGAUGCAAAGUUUUGGAAACUCUCCUCUGCAAUGCAAUUGAUCCGGUACUCUUCCUUGUUUUUCCUUUGGAAGAGCGAAUAUUCCAAGGUACACCGAGGUAUUGGAAGUUAUUCAUUGGGUGACCUUUUCCAAUAAAUGGUUAAUUGAUGAUCACUAGAAAGCACUUCUUUUGUUCAAUUUAUAACUUGGGAGCAGAUUCCUUCUUUUUGUUGCUAAGAAAUAUCCAACUUGAAUAUAAAGGGGUUAAGACUUGUGUCCUGGACCAAGAUGUUAAGACUUAAGUUUGAAUCUCCUCUUACAUGGAUGAGCUUUUUAAAACUUGUUUUUAGCUUUCAGCAUGUGUAGCCUAAGAAUUCAAAUAUGAACAAUUCAAAUAUGAACGCGUCAUUGGCUUAUGGCCUGUUAAGUGAAGGACUUUCAAAGGACUCAUUUUUAUUUAAAUUCUUUUUAAAAUAAUCUUUGUAAGUGUUUAGAAGUUAUUUGAAAUAACUUAUUAUUCAUCACUCAAAGUUAAAUUAAACACCCUCUUAGUUUCAGCUCUGGAAGUUGAACUUUGAAAACAUUUGUAAGAAGAUUAUGAUACAUAAAAAAAUCUACUUCAACUUUGGUAGAUUGAACUAUGGUUCAAAUAUUAUAUGAUUGAAUCUUCACAUUUUUUGUAUUCCAAGUAUAAUCACAUUUAUGAAAUGCUAAUGUUAGAUAUGAAACACCGGUGAAUUCUUGUAAUUCUAAUUAUAUUUUAAAUAGUGAUUUUAAACCUAUAAUAAAUAAAUAUUGUAUAUGUAACUAUAACUUCUAGUGCAAUCUUGUAGUUUUAAUUAUUUUGGUAAUUUUUAAUCUAUAAUAAAUUGAUAUUAUACAACUAAGAAAAGUCACACAAAAUAAUUGUGAAAUCACACGAAAUAAUGGAUUGUUUCACCAUAUUAAUUAUUACUUUUACGUAUUUUGUUUUGCUUUUAACCUAGCAUGUUAUAAUUUUAUUGGAAGAAUCAAUUUACCAAUUCGUGCGUAGAAACCUCAACCUUCAAUAGAUGUCAAUAGUUGCACUUAAUAAAAUUGAAAAAGGAACCUUUAUUGUCUCUGAAAGAUCAUUUUUAUUGUUGACACUUCAAAAGCAAAUAUGAGAGAUGGAUAAUUCUCACAUAAAAAGAAGUGUUAUGAUAAAUGCUUGUCGAAUUACUGUCUUGAAAGCAAUUACGGUAUGAUCAUGAUGUAACGUGCGCUCGCGAUGAUGUGGAUAUAAUCAAUUGAAGUGUAAACAUCCAAACUUAGCUACUAUAUGUAACUUUUGUAAUACCAGUAAAAAUCUGUUAUAAUAAGUCGUGAUAUUUAUAAUUAGUUGUGAUUAUUUAAACGUUUAUGAAAUUCCUAAGUGUUAAAGGGUAAAGUGUGUUGGAUUGAAGUGAAGUUGGUACGGAAAAAAGGGUGACAGGGACGCAUUCAAGAGACACAGGAGAAUAAUUAAUUGAAAACAUGUGAUGGAAUUUACAAGGAUGGAUUGAACAUUUAACUCAGAAAACAAAAGCAAGAGAUAAACAAAAAUCAAAGUAAAUGGUAAUAAGUUAAAUAAAAUAAUUUAAUUAAGCAAAAAGGGAUAUUUACACCAUUAAGUAAUUUAAUUGAGCUAGAAGUUAACGAGGAAGAAAACGAAGGUUAACUAUGCACAAAACAAUCAAAUUUUGAAGUAGGAGGUGUCAACUUCAUAUGCAACAUCAGCCUGCAGAAGAAGUUUAUUUAAGGAUAACCUUAGCCAAUUGUUCUGAUUUCAUUGGCAAGUUAAACUUGAGAGAGUGUAGUUUAUGUGAGUGUAAUCUCUCUUUUUUUUUUUAACAAAUGACAAAUACGUUUAUAGAGUUUCAAUUAUAUUUACUAGGUCAUGGCAUAUUCAACAUCUUUUAAAGCGAAUGAAUCAAUUAUAUGUACAUAAAUGUGAAUACGUAUAUUACAUCCUUAAACUUUGAUUAAGUAGAAAAAUAAAUAAAUAAAAAGUUUAGAGGCUUGUUAAUAGAUUUAAAAAUUUAUUAGACACAAAAUUAGAAGUUGAAUCGCGGUUAGAAAUUCUCACAUUAUUAUACAAAAAAAAAAGGAUUGUAAUAUAUAUCAAUUUAAAAUUUUUAAACAAUUACAUUUGUAUCAACAUAUUUUAUAAUCUAUUAUAUUUCGUUCAAAAAAUACUAUCACUCACAAUCAUACUAAUCAAACACGUGAGAGAAUUAAUGCAAGAACAAUAUUGAAAUAUAAACAUAAAUAAUGGAUCCAAUUGAUAGUACUUACAAAAAUUCAAGAGUUUAAUGAAACAGGAUUGUGGGUUGUAAGUUCUUUAAAAGUAAUUUACAUAAAUGGUUAAGUAAUUUACAUAAAUGUAACAAACCAAAAUUAUCAUGGCUCGUAUGAUAAUAAGUCUAUGAUACAAUAUUUUUUUUUUUUUUUGUAAAUUAUAUAUAUGACCUUUCGAUUUAUAUCUUCUUUACAAUUUAUUAAUCUUGAGUCAUCUCGGUGCAAUUAAGGUUCCAAGAUUGAAUAACUAAAGACAUGCAAAAGUCUUUCAUUUCGAGACAUCUCGAGGCAAUGUAUGUCCGAGAUCGAAUAAAAUAAAGACAAUUCUUUCAUCUUCGAGCCAUUUUGGUGCCACUAAGGUCUGAGAUCCAAUAUAACUAAAGGAAGAAUGCUUUCAUCUCGGGGCAUUGUAUACCCAAAAUCGAAUGUAUUAAAGGCAGAAUUCUGUCAUCUCGAUGCAUCUCUAUACAACUAAGGUCUAAUGUCAUGUAUUGUAAUCUACAUGAUCGUUUAAAUUUGAAAGUCAUCGUUUAAAAUGGAAGUAUAGGAUUGUGUAGAUCUACAUUUAUGUCUUUCAUCUCGAGUCAUCUUAGUGUAUUGUAUGCCUCAGAUCGAAUGAAUUAAAAGCAAUGUUCUUUCAUCCCGAGGCAUCUUGGGGCAUGGUAUGUCCAAGAUCGUAUAUCAAAAUCUACAUGAUCGAGCGUAUGUGGUUGAUUUAUCACGAGUUGACAUGGGUAAUUAUGGUACUUUACAUUGUGGGCCUAUGGAAUUUUUUCAAUUUUCAAAAUUGUUUUAUAUAAUAUAAAUAUUUUGCCAGUUUGUUAUAUUUUUUAAAAACUCUAAGUUUUACAUAGUGAAGUUUAAAUUGAUACAAUUAUUAGUCUAUGGUUUAAAUUGAUAUGACCUCAAAGUUUAAAGUUUAAAGGUUAAUUUUCUUAAAUAUAACAAAACACCAAAAUAUUUAUGGUCAAUAUAACAAAAACGAAAAGCCCAUGAAGUCAGUAAAAUAUUUUGUAAAUUCUAGAUUUGCUCUUGAUAUUUUGAACGAUUCAUCACUUCUGUUUUUUCUUCUUCUUUGCAAUUUAUUCAUCUUCUCUUUCAAAUUUCUUCAGCUCAUCUUUUCAUAUUUUCUUUCUUCUAUUUUUAUUCAUCAUCUUUUUUUCUUUCUUUCUUCAAGCUCAUCUUCCAGAAUAUCAAGAUCGUUUAAAUAUCACUAUGAUAUUUGAUAUGAUCUAAACGAUCGCCUACCUAGUCAACAUGAUCGUUUAGAUUUGAAGUCCUUUUCACAUCGUUUAAAAAGGACUACAUAUUUGUGUAAAUAUGAUCUAAGCAAUCGCUUACCAUAGUCAACACGAUCAUUUACCAUGAUCAACAUGAUUGUUUAGAUUUGAAGUCCUUUUUCCAUCAUUUAAAAUGAACUACGCGAUCGUGUGGAUAUGUUCCAAACGACCGCUUACCAUAUUCAAUAUGAUCAUUUAACAUGCAUGGUCAACACGAUUGUUUAGAUUUGAAGCAAUUUUUCCAUCGUUUAAAAAGAAUUAAUUACACGAUCGUGUGGAUAUGAUCUAAAAGAUCGUUUAGCGUGAUUAACACGAUCGUUUAGAUUUGAAUCAUUUUUCUCCUCAUUAAAGAAAACUACAUGAUCGUUUUGAUACUACCUAUAUGAUCGUGUAUCAAUUCCUAGACAAUCGUGUAUCAUGAUCGUUUAGUAGACGAAUUACAUACAAGCAUAUGAUCAAUUAAUCGCGUGUUGACUGGGAAUGGCGGAUCCAAAAAUUUUAUAUAGUGGGUCAUCAUGCACUAUAUAAUAUCACACUAAAAAUGUUUAAAAAAAAGAUUUCGACAUUUCGUUGAUGCUCCAAUAACGACAUUCACUACAUUUAUAGUAAUAAAGAAAAAACUAGCAAUUUCCACGUCAUAUUUUGUAAUGUAAACGUGAAUUUAAAAAUUGCAUAAAAAAAGAUAAAGAAAAGAAUAAUACUUUUUUCAUAUAAAUAUUGUUGAGAGAGUGGAAAUUUAGAUCAUCAUCUUUGUUGCAUUUUUUUUCUAAAUACUUAUUAGAUAGCGAACGACCACUAGAAAAAAGUUAGAAUUUUAUCUUAGUUAGGUUUUGUUCAUUUUUUAAAAAAACUAUUUUAUAACAUUAUUGAAACUUAUCAAUAAAAUUGAAAUUUGGAGUCUUGAAUAAAUAAAAUUAUUGAAAUGUUACUGAAUUAACUUGUAGUCUUUAAUUUUGAAAUUAAAUUAAAUUAAUAUAUAAUGUGAAUUAAAAAAUUACACAAAAUGUUUUUUUCUAAAUAUUUGUUAGGUUAGAUAAGUUUUUUUUUUCUUUUUAAUUAUUGAUUGUUUGAAAUAAAAUUUAUUUUGUUACAAUUUAGAAAAAAAUUUAGAGAUUUAAAAAAAUAAUUGUAAUAACCGUUGAAGAGUGAGCCAACAACCAUUGUACUGUAACUAAAAUUUAGCUUAGCUAAAUUAAAGCAUUAUUUAACCUAUGUUUACGAUGAUAUUUCAAAAUUAAUAUUAAAAUAUAAAAACUCAUAAUAUGACAUCUUAAAAUUAAUAUUAAAAUAUAAAAAACUGAUAAUACAACCGCAGCAGUUGUGUUGUGGAAUAAAUCUGCCCAAGUAGUAUUAUUUUUUAAAAACCCAAGUUUAAAUUGAUAUUUUGCGGUAUUUUUAUUUGGUGAAGUUUACUAUUAUGUAAUGAAAUAUUCCACUUGCUCUUAUGUACAUAUCAAACUCAUAAAUGUGAGAAAGGUGGGAAGCUAAAGUUUAUACAAAAACCGAAAAUUAAAGAAUUAAAAAAAUGUGAAGAAUAAUGGUUACAAUGAAGCAAAUGUAGAAAGCGAAACAAUAACGUCAUCAAGCCAUCCCUCACUCACACAAGACUCAUACAAGUCGAAGCUGCCUUAGCCAAUACUCUAACCACAACAGAUCUAUACCUGAGAGGCUUAAUCAACCUCCACGGGCUGAUUCCGCUCUCGUACCCAUCCGCGGUGACAACACUUACCGUCGUCUCCUUCGGAACCACGUGGAACAUCGGGGUCGGUGCUAACCGAGCCUGUCUCUUCCGAAUCUCACUCAACUCUAUUCUCGACGGAGUUUUUGUUAAUCCUAUCAACGCCAUCGGCCUCCUCGAAUUACUCCGUUGAAUUUCAAAUAAUCCGCCCACUGCAGACGAAGAAAACGGUCUCGAUCCAUUUCCGUACCGAAAGCUCUGGUUUCGAAUCAACGAUGAUUCCGAUCUAUUUCUAGAACUUGCAGAGUCUUCAUCUCGGAAUAUGUCCAAAGUCCUCCCGCAGAAAACGAUUUCACUUGGAGGCAACAAUGAACUUGUUUUCCGCUUCAAAUCGGUGCGAAAUUCGAAGAAAUCUUGGCGAUCGUCGUGAUCACUGCAGGAAUCCCCGGCUUCCGAUUGUGGUUCGAGAAUUGGAAAAUCACGGAAAGAGAGAGUGUCUUCGUCGUCUUGAACGUCAAGGACGUCCAACAAAUCUGGAUUAUACUUCACUGACUCCAUCGAAGCAGAAAGAAUGGUUUUAGAAAAAGAAAAUUGCGGUGAAAUGAAGAUGAAGAUGGAAUUGGUGGAUUAAAUAAAGGGAGAAAGAGGAAAGAAGGAGGAUGCUUCCUUUGGAGAACUUCUGGAAGGGUGGAGAUUGGAUUUGAUCCACCAUGAAUUAUAAUAUGGUGUUUUUUUAGCUUAAGCGUGUAUGCCAAGAUUUUCAAUACGGAGACUUUCUAGAAACACACUUAAGACAAGAGACUCUCUAAUAAAACUUUUGUUGUAGUUAUUAUUAUUAUUUCUAUACAAUAUUUUAUUUUAUUUUUUAAAACUUUAUAGGUUUGAUUGAUUAAUAAAUUUACAUUUGCACUAUAAGUUAUAAAUAUUUGGUAACAAAGUUGUAAAUAUUUUAUAUAGGGCUUAGUUGUAAAUAAUUUGUCUAUUUUACUGCAUUCUACAAUUCCUGCUUAUAUAUAAUUGGAAGUCAUCUAUUAAAAAUACUUUUAGGAGAAUAGACUAACUAAUAAAUAUGUGAAGAGUUAGCAGUUGGAUGAUGUGUAUCCAUUGUAUUUAAUAGAAGUGGGGUUGACAAAAAAAUAAUUUUUAAUAAUAUAUAUAUAUAUAUAUAUGUAUGCAUGCAUGCAUGCAAAUACACAUACAUCUAUCAUCUAUAUAUAAUAUAUAUGAAAAGCUAAUAAAAAAAACAUUUUAAGACAAAUUUGUCCCUAUGCAUUUUAAUUAAUCAUAUAUAUUUUUUAAAAUUUGAAAUAAAUAAACGUUCUAGAAUUAGAUGUAUUAAAUUAAAAAAUUAUUAGGUAAAUAGAUUUUUAAAAAACCCGUAACUUAUAAUUGAAUGAUUAGAGUAAUAAUUAACUAGAAUUUAAUUUACUUUUAUAGAUUGAGCUUUAGGGGCCGUUUGGAUGAAGGGUUGAGUUAUGGAAGGGUUAGGGUUAUGAUAAAACUAGUUUUAUGAUAAAAGUUGUUUGGAUGAAGGGUUAUGUGAGUAGUGUUAUGAUAGUGUUAUAAUAAUAUGUGUUUGGGAGAAGGGUUAUGUGAUUUGUGUUAUGAUAGUUUUAUGAUAAUAUGUGUUUGAGGGAAGGGUUAUGUAUGUAGUGUUAUAAAAUUUAUUUUUUAUACAUUUUUUUUAAAAAUUCAUAUUCUAAAUCCAACCAAAAUUUUGUAUAUUUAGUUUACUAAAUUAUUAUAUUUUCGUCAAACAAUUUUCAAUAAUUUCUUUAAAUUUGACGUCUUUUUCCAACAUUUUUUAGGUUGUCGUUAUGUGCAAAUAAUUUAUUAACUUUUUAAAGAAAUUUUGUAUUCUAAAUCUAAUACACAGAUUUAUUUGACGUAAUUGUUACGUUCAAAUAAAUUAUUUAUCUAAUCGUUCUAGUUUUCGUAACACAAUUUUCCUUAAUUUAUUUAAAUACAAUAUGAACUUUUUUUAAGUAAUCGUUUCGGUUGAAUAAAUUACUAUUUUUCUUUUAAGGAUAAAACAUUCUUAGUUUUUUCUUAUCUCAAUAUUAUGUUUUUUUUUUUCUCAUCUUUUUAAAUUAAAGGAUUGUUGUUCUGGAAGCAACAAAAAUGAUAAAAAAAAUUAUAAUAAAUCAAUGAAAGAUAUAAAAAUAAGGAAGAAGAAAGAGAAAAAAAAAAGUACAUUUUGGAAAAAUAUAGCAUAAUUUGGUAAAAAAUUAGAUUUAAAAUUUAAUUCAAAUAAAUCUUAAAUCAAAUCACCAUUGAAUUCAUUUUUUUAAAAGGAAAAUUCUUAUACAUUUCAAGUUUAAAUACUUCCAAAAAAGAUAUUUGUUAUCUUAGUUAAUUUAACGUUAAAUCCUCUUAUUUGAUUUUAUUUUGAUUUUUCUAUAAGUUUAAUAAAAUUCAUUUUUUUAAAUUUAUUUAACUUAAAUUUAUCCGAAAUAGUUUAGAUACAUAUAGAUUAGUUUUAAAAUAAAAUAUUUGAAAAGGUAAAAAACAAAUAAAAGACAUAAAAUAAUAAAAAAAAAUUAAAGUAAAUACAAGUACUAAAUGCAUAAACUAAUCACAAUUUAUAUUUAUUUAAAUUUUAUUUUGUAAAUAAAAUAAAUUAAAAACAAAAUUAUUUUAAGAUUAUUAAAUUAAUUGAAAAAACAAAUGGCAUUUGAUAAAUAAAAGAGUAUUUUUUUUUAAGAAAAAAUGAAAUGGUAAAUUUAUGGAGAAUUGAAAAAGUAGGAUUAGAGAGGGCUGAAGAGAUUGAGAAGGAAGAGAGAGGGGAAGAUGAGUUAUGAUAAACCUAAAACAAGGGUUAUGAUAACCCUUCCCCAAACAAGGGUUGGGUUACCAUAAACUUAACCCAAAAGUGAUAAUCCUUCCUCCAAAUUUAAUAAGAAAAAUGCUUGGCUAAUAAUUAAUUGAAUCCAAACCUACCAUAUAAACACAAAAUUAUUUUAAUGCUUCUCACAUUAUAUGUCAAUUUUUACUUUUUGAAGAUUGAAGAUUGCUCAACAUGAAGAUAGACGAAUGAAAUUGUUCAUAAUAAAAAAAUAUUUGUUAAUUUAUAUUUUGGGUGUGUUUAUUAUAGUUUCUACUCUUUUUUUUUAAUAAUUCAACCGUUCAUAGUAUUUUUUUUUUUUUUUUUUUUGUCUAUAGAAGGUACAUAACUUCAUUUUCUUAAACUUUUAGUUUAUCGAAAAAGAAUGGAUUGAUGAAAAAAGUUGUGAUUAAUAAAGUUUGAAGUUUUUCUAAAAACGUAUUCAACCAAAGUAAUUACAAUUGUUUACAAAUUUAUAUCACACCAAAUCAAAAAUAAAAAUAAAAAACCUCUUUGCAUUUAAAAUUUUAUAGUUGUUACAUUUAUUACACUAUGUUUGAAGGGACACAACCACUAUACGAGAGACAAAAUUUAGUAACACUAGAGCAUUAUUUAAUAUAUAUUGUAAUUUCAAAAUUAAUAUUAAAAUACAAAUAAAAAAUGUAAGAGGGAGACGAGCCCCUACCUCUUAAUAAAUCCGUCCUUGUGUGGAAGACAUAGUCAAACUUAUUAAAUGUGUACGUCAAGCUUCCUAUCUUCCUCCAUAGGGGUUAUUUAAGACCAUUAUAAGUGCAUUUAUGUGUUUAUAUAGCUAGGUUUGUAUUUUUUACUUAUUAAUUAGUAUGCCCCUUAAAAUUUGUGUCAUAUUUUCUAACCGUAUUCAUUCUAGCCAUCUUUAUCGAACCAUAAUUAAAAUUAGUUUAUUCGUAAAAGAAUUUCAUUAGAUAGAUCAAUUAUAGUAAACUUAAAUCGUAAAUAUAAUUGAAUUACUUUUGAUCACAUUUAUUUAGAGUUAUGAAUCCUUCACGUCUACUAUUAUUGUUACCAUUUGACUCUAAGUAGGAUCAAAAUUGUGACUGUAACAAUUAAAUGUAAAGAUAAAAUAACAAAUGUCAGUUCAUAAUUAUCAUAUGAUUACAAUAACAAUAUCUUAAUAACGAUAACAAUGAAGGGUAGUUAGUUCAACAUAAUUUUUAAGCAUAAUUGGAUAAUUAAGCACGUUCCUUAAUCAGAUUAUUUGAUUUGAUUACAAAUUUGGAGGUAGGACCUACGAUUGUUCAUUAAAAUUACAAAACACAAGUAAACAACAACAAAGAUUAUUAACUCGGGCCAACUUUUUAUAUUUUCAUUUAUGAAUUUCGAUUGAGGUAAAUGUGGCCUUACUUGUGUUUAAAUGGUGUUUGAAUUGGAUCUUUGCACAACUCUUGACCUUUUAAAUGGCUUAGAUUAAUGAUAUUAAAACUGUGUGUUUUCAAGAAUUGUCACUUUGUUGUUGUUUUUUCUUUUUUCAAAUAUUGCUUUAGAAUUGAUAUUUAUUGAAUUAGUCUUAGUCUUAUAGUUCUCAAAUGAAUUGUCUUAGAUCUAACAAUGAUUUAUCCUUCUAACUUUGUUUUAGAUUUGUAAGUGUUUGCAAAAAUCUAAAUUAGUAAAUGGUUCAGCAAUAGAGCAAUUUAAUGAAUGAAUUUUAUUUGGAUUAAAUUUUUAAAUGUUUAAUGUAAAAAAUAAGUUAUUCGGUAAAAAGUUGGGAGUAUUUGAAAGCUACUUAAAAUAGUUUUUUAAAUGUAUUUUAAACCAUUUUCACAAAAAUGAGUUUAAAGAAAAAUGAGUCGUUUCUUGAAAAAAAAAAAAUCUUCAGUCAAUCCAAACGGACCCUAUAUCGUUAUUGUGAAUGUCAGUUUGAUGAAAAAGACUAUAAAAAGCAUGAAUAUAAGAGAAAAGUAUCUCUAUUGAUGAGCUAUAGGAAGGAUGAUUCGAACCUAUAUAAUUGUAUUCCAGAAACAUAUACGAGCAUCGUAUGAUUGUAAAACAUUAAUAAAGAUUCACUAGGUGUAAAGAAAGCCUCCAAUAAACAAAGAGAAAUUGCAUUAGAUGACAAUACUUUUAUAUAAAAAAAGUAUAUAUAUAUAUAUAGCUAGUUUUCUUAAAAGAAAAUAAACGUACGUUAGUUAGUUCAGAUAUUUGUAUAUAUAUAGUCUAAUAUGAAAGAUAUUGCAUUAUUUGAUUUGAACCUCCAUAUGUCACAUGGUUUUUAGUUAGAAAACAGAUUAAAUUGGACCUUAAUCUAUAAGAUAUUCUCAAGUCAUCUAACUCUAAAUAUAAUAUAAUUUUCCAGGAUGAAACCUACAAAAUCUAUAAGAUAUCCUCAAGUCUUCCCAACUCUCUCUAUAUAUAAAUUAAUAUCAUUUUCCCAAGAUGAAACCUAAGAAAACAAUCAAAGUCAUAAAAUGUAUCAAUAUGGUGUAGUAUUUUUCAAAUCAACUCAACAUUCAACAACUACACAUUUUGUCUUUUACAAUCCAUAUUUUAGGGGUUUUUUUUUUUGUUUGAGAAAAACAGUUUAAUCUAUCUAUAUAUGUACUUGUAUCUAUACUAUAUUAAAGUGUGAGAUUCAUGAGAAACAUUUUUAGUCUAAAUUAUCCUCCUUAAUUUUAAGUUAUUACAUUUAUGUAUCCUUACUAUAGUGUUUUUAAUUUUAUUAUUCAUUUUAGUUUUAAUUUUAAGUUAUAACAAGGGACACUUAAAAAAUAAAAAGAGGAAAAACAAGUAUUAAUAAUUAAGUCUAUAACACACAUUUAUUGUUUGUAAAAAUGAUAAAGACAAAACCAACCCACUUAUAUAAUAUGUGAAAUGCCAUAAAUGUCUUUGUUACUGAUAUACAUUUGAUACACUUGAUACGCACCUGAUACAUCUGAUACUCUUUGAUACACUUGAUAUACAUUUGAUACUUCUUGAUAACUUUUGAACCUUGAUACACACUUGAUGUACCAUGAUACUCUUUGAUUGUGAGACUCGUUUCUAAUUUGAAUAUAGGAAUUAAAAUUCGGUUAAAAGUAUUAAAGAAAUUGGUGUUUGAAUAAAUCUGCCGAAAGGAUUAAGCGAUAAAAUCUUUUAUGGUUAGUAUAAGUUUUGAGAAAAAGAGGGUUUGCAGUAGAAUCUAUAAGUCUAAACGCUCUAAAAAAAGUUUGCUUAAGUUAAGUUUUGACUAAAACGACUAGGCGUUUAGGUAGUCUUCACGAUAAGAACCAAGGGUUUCGUGAUAAAAAAGUAUGCGAGGAAGUCUUGAAGUUUAAGUUCACGAUAAGUGUUCUAAGCGAGUAAAAAUUGGUUAGUUCGCGAUGAAGGUUUCUUGUAAAAAUAAAACCACGCGAUAAGGUUAUUCGCGAUGAGUGUUAAGUGGUUAAAAUUAUUUGUGGUAUGGGCUUAGGCAGGAAGUAAGGUCUAACUAAGAAAAUGUCAAAUAUGAUUUGACAGGGAUUAACGUGUAAGGUUAAGAAGUUAAAGCAUGUUGGGUUGAGUAUUAAAUUCAUGUGUAAAGUUUUAAGCAGAAGCUGGCAAAGUGAGAAGAGUUUAAGCAUGACUAAGAUAGUUUAAGGGCUUUAUAAAUAGAGGGUUUGGUCAUUAAGUAAGAAAGUUUUAUUAAAAAAAAAAAAAGCUAAAAUGCUAUUGUUUUAAUUUGCUUUUGUGAGAAGGAAAAAAAAACAAAAUAUUAAGUACGGUGAUUUGUUCCGCGAGAAGGCUCCACAAGACGAGAAUGAAGAGGAAGAUUUUUGUUAAAGUGUGGUGAGUGGUUUUCUUCUUAAAAGUUUUGUGAUUCUGCUUUACUAUUUUAAAAGAUGAUUUCAAAUGAGAAAGUGUUUAAAAAAGAAAUUUCUAUGAAAAGAUUAUAUGUCUUCAAGCAUGAUUUAUAAUGUUAAAGCUUGAUUUGAUGAUUACGAUUUCCUAAGAAAUGAUUUUCAAAACAUUAGUUGAUUCCUUGAGAUAAUAAUAACUUUUAUGUUCACAUAAAGAGUCAAGGCCACCAUGGAGUGUAUGGACUACAUGGUGAUAAGAAAUUGGCUUAUGUGUUGAAAGGAGUGUAUAAAGCUCAGCAGUCUAAGCAACAAGGAUGAAUCUGUAUGUUCUCAGAUGUUGUUGAUACAGUAGUCAAACGCAAGGUAAUGAGACCAAGCGUAGAUAAUGAUUCAGGAUCCUUGGCGAAAGAAAUAACUAUUAACUAAUUUGUGUUUAUGUGAAAUUGUUGUGUUAUGAAUGUGUUUGUUAAGCAUAAAGAAAGAUUUAUGCGAGAUGAAAUGAUUUGAUAUUAUUUAUGCGAAAUGAUGUUUAUGGAAAUGUAUUGCGAAAAGGAUUUCAUAAAAUCUCACUAGUCUUUUAGACUUAUUCUUUCAAAAAUUCAUCUUUCAGGAUCAGACGUUUAGGCCAAGUAAAGAAGAAGGUUGAAGGAUUUGCGACGAAAUAACUCUAGACCUUUUGGAAAUGGUUAAACAUUGGUUAUUUGAUCAAAGUGUUGUAAUUAUGUAUCCAACGCCUGUUAUUAAUAAAAUAUACUUAUUUAUUAUAUUUGGCAUUUAGGUUGACCACAGUUGCAUUUUGAGUUUUGUUGAUAGUAUAAAAGGAGUUGAGAAUAAGAUUUUGCGAUAAAAAAGUUUCAAUAAAUGGCGAUAUGCAAUGUGUGGGAAUUUAAUGCUCUCCAAGCCGAAGGGACUUGGUCAUUAGUUCCUCGACUUCCAUCUAUAAAUGUUGUUGGUUGUAAAUGGGUUUUCCACACGAAAUAUAAUCAUGAGGGCUCUGUUGCUUGCUACAAAGCAUGACUAGUUGCUAAGGGUCAUCAUCUGGUACAAGGCUUUGAUUUUGAUGAAACCUUUAGUACUAUUGUCAAAAAAACUCACUAUACGAGUUAUUCUGGCUCUUGUUGCUUAAUGCAAUUGGCAUUUAACCCAGUUAGAUCAAAAAUGUCUUUUUUCAUUGUCUUCUCUAGGAAAUAGUUUACAUGUCUCAACCUACUAGCUUCCACCAUAAAACAUAUCCAAAUCACGCGUGCCUCCUUUAGAAGAGUCUUUAUAGUCUCAAACAAGUCCCUCGUUCUUGGUUUGAUCGAUUUACAUCUUAUUUAUUUACCCUAGGUUUUGUUGCUUCUACUGCCAAUUCUUCAUUAUUCAUUUAGUUUGUUAGGUCUUCUCUCACUUACUUACUUCUAUAUGUAGAUGAUAUUAUUGUCACUCUUCGUAUAUUUUUAUUCUCAAACAACAAUUGGCUCAUGAGUUCCAAAUAUCAAAUCUUGAUCCUUUAAAGUACUUUCUUGGUCUCAAAAUACAUUCCUCCACUGAUGCAAUUUUCCUUAACCGAGCCAAAUAUCUCACUGAUCUUCUUCACACCUCCAUAAUGUCUUUUGCAAAAACUUGUGCCACAUCAAUGUCUACUUUUAUUGAUCUUUAUACCACUACCCUGCCAUUUAAUGACCCCUCCUUAUAUCGUUGGCUCAUUGGUUCCUUACAAUACCUUACUUUUAUCUCUCCUAAUAGUACAUUCUCUAUAAAUCAUGUUAGUUAAUUUAUGCACAAACUCAUUGUUAUUCACUUCUUUGAAAUCAAACGCAUCCUCCGAUAUCUAUAUAGUACUUCGACCAUUGACAUAAAAUUUUUACAACUUCGUUAUCUCUACAAACCUUUUGUGACUCUGAUUGGGCUGGAGAUAUUUCUGAUUGAUAUUCCACCUUUGGAUUCAUUGGCUUCCUUGGUUCUAAUUCAAUAUCUUGAUCUUCCAAAAAGCAACCUACAGGUUCGCGUUCUUCCACAUAAGCAAAAUAUCGCUCACUCGCCACUACCACUACCGAUCUUUACUGGAUCCAAAAACUUCUAUAUGAUCUUCAUGUUCCACUUAAGUCUUCAACAACGUUAUGGUGUGAUAAUGUUUAUGUGUUUCAUGCUUGAAUAAACACAUUGAGUUUGAUUACCACUUUGUUCAAGAAAAAAGUAUUUUGCAAAAACAUUCAUUUGUUACAUCUCUUCCAACGAACAACUUACUGAUCUACUAACAAAGCCACUCUCAUCUCCAACAUUUCUACAACUUCGAGAUAAAUUGCUGACUCAUUCCCAGCGAUCCGUUUUAGGAAGGGUAUUAGAGGAUAUUUUUAGAUUCACAAUUCUCUCCACAAUCUACUCCUCAAUUUCUACCCUUCAAUUUUGCCUAAAUUAUAUAUUCGAUUAUAUUGUAAUAUUUCCAUAUUGUAAUCUCUUGAAUUGUAUAUUUAUAGCAAGCAUUGUAAAAGAAAUAAGAUAUGCAAAAUACAUUAUUCUAAAAUCCUUUCGGCCACUAUAAUUUAAAGCAUCAACAUGGGGCUUAAACAACCAAGCUUAAACAUGACUUAUAAUCAGCACAUCCUUAAUCAAAUAAAUAUUAAUUGAAAACAAGAUUAGAAGAUAAAGAGAUUCAAAUUAACUAACAUGAAGUUCAUACGUACUAAACCAUAACGAAGAACAAAAACGACUAAAAAUUUUAUCUAAUCUACGUGUUACUUUAUGGUUUUUUUCCAAAGUUUCACGAGUCAAGUAGUGUAGUUUUUUAUAGUAUUAUCGGAAACUUACAAAUUAAAGAUAAUGACAAAAAGAUUUAUCCCCCUAAUAGAGAAAAAACUGUAUCGAAAUGGUCAAUCUCAAUUUUGAAGCCAACAAAAAAAUGAUAGAGAAGUCUUGUAAAUAGCUUUAGAUUAGAGGGUAUAUAAGAAAAUUUCAUGGGAUUUAGAUGGUGAAAUUGGGCUUUGACUGGGCCAUAAAAUAAAUGGGCCUAGUGGCCCAUUAGGGGAUGUAAGAAAAUGAAAAAAAAAAAAAAAUUACAAAAACCAUGUUGCAGCUUCGAAGUACAGCAAGGGAAGAGUUUUUGCUUCUGGAGAAUGACGAGGGCCGCUCUCUUCCAUUUGCUACGAUCACAAUCCAAACAUAUCUCGAGAAGAAAUUACUAUUCAGGUAUGUUUCUUCUUCCUUCUUCCAUUUUCCAAUCCCUCCUUGCAAGAAUGAGACAUUUUUCUUUCUCAAGCUUUCAAUUCUGCAAUUUUCAUGCUCCCAGUGUAGUAAAGAAUGUUAAAUUUCUUGUUUGCUUCCGAUGAAUGCGAUUAGAAAAUAUUAACGUUAGCCUUUAAUGUUCUGAAAUUAUCUCAAAAUUAUUUUACAAGACCUCUUCGUGAAGUUUUAUGCCAUAUGAUAGCUUGUCUAGCUAGGGAUCUUGUCUUGAAUAAUCUCAUUUUGAUUUUAGGUUUGAGAUAAAUUUUACCGGAAGAAUUAUGCAUGCUUUGAGUUGGAACUUUGGGUGCAUUUUGCUUCUCUUUUUUUUUCUACACCUAGCUACUGUCACGAACAUUUCAAUGUUCACUUGUUGCACAUGAAUUUAGGGAUUCUUGCAAAACUAGGUUUUAUUUCAUAUUUCGUAUGUGUUACUCCUCUCCUUGCUAAUUAGCUUUGAGGUAGAACUCCAUGUAUAUCUAAUGUGGUAUUAGAAUCUAUGAUAUCCGAAAAAACAUUCUUUGUAAAUAAAUUGAAAUCUGACUCAAGAAUGGUGAGCCCAAAGAGGCAUUAUGUUGAGGGGCAUGUGGAGAGGAGAUGUCAUAAUCUUUAUAGAACACACAAGUUACUUCUCUUAUUGUCAAUUGGCUUUGAGCUGGAAUUAUGUUUGUAUGUGUUCUCUUAAAGUAAUAUUUACACUGAAAGUACGCAUUUGGCUCAUCUCCUUGUAAGACAUCCCUUUUAUCUCUAUAGCUGCCUUGUUUCCUUGUUUCCCACUUCCAAUAUUGUAGUCUAGCAUCGUUGUUUGGUGGGUUCAUCUAAGUAUCACUAUGGAAAUUUUCUUUUUUGCAUAUAACACCCUUAUAAGUUAAAAAAGAUUAAGCAACAUCUAGUAAGUAAACAAAUAAAACAAUGCAAAUGAAAUUCUUGAUUGAAAUCAAGUAAAUUCACAAAAAUGUUGAGCAAAAAGCUAGAAAAUUUUCAAUUCUUUUAACGAGACCAAAAAUUUACUGGUAGAAAAGCACUGGAAAGCAUACAAUAUCAAGUUUUAGCAAAUAUAAUGAAAGGAAAUUGCUGCCCUCUAGGAUUGGAUGUCAGAAUUUACUAUAGUAUUUCUGGUUGUUAACUAUAUUUAGAUACUCAGUUUGUUAUGUGAUAGGGUGCUAGCCACUCAGGUAUUCAGGGUUGGGAGGCUUCCAUCUCUUCUCUGGCAGUUACUGAAGAUUCGUUUGUAUUUUUUCCCCUGCUUUUCUUCCUUCCCUCACAAUAACUUAAAAGACAAGCAUAAUCUUAGACCAAAUAUAUCCAGGACUAGCAAUACUUUAAUUUUUAGGUUAAAAAGUACAAAUAUUAAGCACUAGAAACAUGCUAAUCGGGCUUGGUGUAAGACUUUCUGUGGGAAAUAACUCCCUUUCUAUUAAUCACUUGCAAUUGCUGGAUGAUGCCAUUCUUGUUCUCUUACUUCGUGAAGUCCUCACAUUCUCGUUAUUAUUGUCAAGUCUUUGUAGAGGCUUCGGUCCCUACCAUAGGUAAGGUAAAUCAGAUAUUGCUGGCAUUGGUUGUGUGACCUCCAUCAUUAAGCUGAUUGCUCUGAACUUCAGCUUAGAAUCGGGACACUGGCCAUUUCUUACUUAGAGCCUCCUCUGUUUUUUCUUUAGACCUUUUUAUUGAAAGAUGAGAAAAUAAACUCUAAUAAAGAAAAUGCCUCAUUGAAGAAGGCAGGCAACCUUAUUUGAAUAGAUUCUCUCUAAUCUUCUUAUAAUAUCUAAUAAAGAGAGUAGAGAGCCCAGUGUCAAUUGAUUUUGAGGUGGAAUCUCAUGUUAUAUAAUGUCAUAAAGCCAAAACGGGUAUUUGAUCCAAUAGCAAAUUGAGAUCCAAUAAAAAAUGGUGAACCCAAAAGAGUCACAUCAUGAGGGAUCAUGUUGAGAAUCCCACAUGGAAGAAACCAAGAGAACUGAAACUCCUUAUUUUAGGAUAGGACCCCUUUGUCAAUUGGUUUUGAGAUGGAACCUCAUUGCUAAGAAUUCCACAUAGGAAAAACUAAGGUACCUCGCACUCCUUAUAAGAUAGACGAAUUUCUUUCCUAUUGUCAAUUGGUUUUAAGAUGGAAUUAACUCUAUGCUUGUGGGCUCGAAAUAUGAAAACUCAACAAGUGGAAAUGAAUAAUAAUUGGAGAGAAAACAACAAUGUAGAGGUUUGAGAAAAAACAACAAUUUAGAGGUUUGAACACAGGAUCUUCUGAACCAACCUGCUUUAAACCCCUCUUCAAUCAAUACCAUCUUAAAUUAUCAAUUGACUCAAAGUGGCUUUUUUGGAGAUUUAUUUGACAUGGAGAUUUCACCUUGAAAAGGAUAAUUUUUGGAAGAAAUUUGUUGUUGCUAGAACGGCAUUGCUAAUGAUGGAGGAAAUGUAUUUUGUUUACUUUUAAAAUUGUAAAUAUUUUUACUUCUGGCUCUUGCAUACAGUGCAUUGCAUAUGAUCCUACCCAACCCUGAGUACCUUUCCUACAUGUUGGACGAUCUUUCCCAUUCUUCCAUCAUCCAUGGGACUUGGUUUUCCUUGUAAUUGUUUAUUCAAUGAAGUUAGUUGUUCAAUUGUUUGUUAUUGUUUUUUUUAUCAGAAAAGCUUUAGUUAUUUUGACUUGGAAAGCGAGAGAAUUAUACAACAGAAAUAAGGAUGGUCUAUUGGUCUCUCUAUAUUUCCAUUAAAAGAAAGAAAUGGUUUUAAACUCAACUUAUAAGCAGUAUAUUGAUGUCUUUUUGUUCCCUUUUGUGAAGGAGUUAGCAAACAAACUCAAGACGAAUCAUUAUCUGAUGUCACUAUCCUUCAUGAGUCCGUCUUAUAUUUGUUAUUUAUUUUGGAUUUGCUUCACUCUCAAAGCCCUGGGCCUUGUCUUGUCUUGUUUUCAUUAUUUUUAAAGAUAGUAAUAGCUAGGGUUUUUCCUUCCUUAUUAACUAAGAAAAAUCGAAUUUACUCAGCCUAAAUGCAAAAGUUCUCUUGUUCAGAUUGGUUUUUCUUUUUCAUAUUUCCACUCCAACUAUGCUUUCUCUUCUUUAUGUAAUAUUUUUGUUUGCGCUUUGCAGUUAAGCUCUAGAAGACUAAAGCUCUUUUUAUCUAAAAGUAAGUGCUCUUUUGCCUCAGGUUAUCAUCUCCAACGAUCAACAGCAUGGAUCAAUGAAAAAUUUGUACCCACCAGCAACUUUCUUUCGCAGAAAAAUGCAGUCCAGAAGAGAUGGGCAUCUCAAGCUACAACAAGAGAAGAUGAUGGCAAGAUCAGCAUUGGACCCGGAAGAGGACAAGAAGCCGAGGAAGAUGAAAAAGAUGUUGCUUAUAUUGGGCCAAUCUCGUCAACUAUCAAAAAAGUCAAGCUUCUAUCUUUAUCUACAUGCUGCCUCUCUGUAUCACUCGGACCAGUCAUAACCUUCAUGACGUCCCCCGACAUGAAUGUGAUUCUGAAAGGUGUUGUUGCAUCAUCUGUGAUAUUCCUCAGUGCUACUACUACUGGAGCGCUUCACUGGUUCGUGAGCCCUUAUGUUCAUAAAAUUAGGUGGAAACCAGGUUCAGACAGUUUUGAGGUUGAGGUUAUGUCGUGGCUGGCGACUUACAUUCCACGAACCAUUAGAUUUGCUGAUAUUCGACCACCCGAAACAAACCGCCCCUUUGUGACAUUCAAGGCUAAUGGGAGUUUCUACUUCGUAGACAAAGAGCACUGUCAGAAUAAGGCACUCUUAGCCAGACUGACUCCUCAGCAACGCGAAUCAGCUCUUAGAAACUUAUGAUUGUCUUGGAGACUGACUUUUCUUUUUCUUCAUUGAGUUGAAGGCCAAUGAGAUGGCUGAACUGUUGUCAUAAAUCAUAUACUUUCACCAUAGACAAAUUGCUGCUCAUUGUACUGUUUAGAUCAAUUUUGGCAGAAUGGUUUUUUUAAAACACAAUAAUUCAUUCAUGUGUACAACCUUUGAUAACUGAUAGAUGAUACUACAUAACAUAUAUUACGUAGUUUGGAAUUUUAAAAAUAGUUUCUAUUAACAUAUUCUUUAUAUAUUUUUGAAAAGAUACUCACAUAGUAUAACUUUUCGUAAAUUUUUUUACUAUGUAAACCAUUUUUAUCCAAAUACUUCUUGGACUGAAUUUAAGAUUUGUUUAAAGUUUAGUGAUAAUGCAAUCUUAAUUCUUAACCUAAAAGUUCAAACUUUUUGUUGGUAGGAAGAUUUAAAUCCAAGAAACUAACUCCUUGUAUGAAAUUUAAAUCAACCAAAAGGGAAAAGGGAAAAAAAAUGUUAGAAUUAGAUUAUCUCUUUCCGGUAGGAUUUCAAACUUUGUUCCAUUCUACUGUCUCUCUACAAAUUUGAAGAAAAGUUGUUUGAAGAAAAGUUGUUCAAAUUUCUCAGAAAAAACCUCAAAGAAUGAGAGCUCAAAUUAGAUUAAUAAAAUCUUCGAUCAAGAUUAAAAGGAUGAAACAAUUGGUAUAUAGCAUUUUAUAGAGAUUGUAAUCUUUUCAAUCUAUAGACACAAAAUUCAAAAUAAAAUAUUAAAGAAAGAAGUUAUUUUCUAAAUCUCAAUCUUUUCAGCUACCAUCUUUAAUGUAUCUUCAUCUUUACAACCACUAUCUUUAAUGCAUCUUGCUCCAGAAACAUUAACUAAGUUAAAAUUGCUAAAGAAAUGUUAAGAAAACUAAUAACAGAAGUUAUCAACUUACGUUCGUUAAUUACAAUUGUGUCAUGAUACAUAUCAUCUGAUUUAGAAACUGAAUUUGAAUAACUAAACUAAAACUAUAGAAAAUUUAUUGAAAUUCACUAUUCUUUACUCUAAAAACGUCAAGUUGUUUUUUUGUUCAUCCAAAAUUACUUUUUUUUUUUCUUUACACCUAUCCAGACUAAUUUACAUAUACCACGACAAGUUUUCUUAGUCAAAACCCUACACAAUAUUUAGGUAACACAAAAACCUAGAAAAUAUUAAAACUUAGGUAAAUAGUCACAAAAGAUUGAAUCCAUACCGAUAGCCUUCUUACCAAAGUACAUGAAAAAUUGGCUCUUUUUUUCUAUUAUGCUAAUGGUUUAUUAUUCAUAUCAGGGUAGUGGCUCCGAAAUCAAGAAACCAACGUUGAUGAGGAUGAAAAGGGGAAGAGAGUUGAGUGAAAUGUGAGCACAAAGAGUGUGUUAAGGAUCCCGAAAUAGAGGGUUGUGAUGCGAGGAUUGUAGCAAUUAGAGAAAGUAGUGUGUCCAAAUCAGGUACAAAAUGAGGUUUAUUUGGUUUGGAAGACGACAAAAGAUUAUAGGGAUCGGAAUGGGGAAAGGAGAGGCAAGAUCAAUAGCAGGAGGCAAAGAAGAAGCAUAACUCAAUACAUUUGUGAUUUAGGGAAGAAGUUGUGAAGGUAGAGGUGAAUGUUGUAGAUUGGCCAAAUUGGAACGCACAUUAUAUGAACUUGCACGACGCUUCACCAGAAACGUAUGUAAGACCAUUGGAGCAGAAGUAGGUACCUGAACUUGCUCAUCUCAUGUCCCUUGUCUACUCGUUCAUAUAAAUUUCACGUAUUCACUUCAACAUAUCCGCUUUUGCAUUUUUAAUAUGAAUUUUAAGUAGUUUUAAAUAUAUAUAUAUACAAACUCAACAUAUUAAACAAUAACAAGAAACCCUAAACAUAAUUUUUUUAAACUCCACUUCACAACAAAAUUUUAAAACAAGAAAAGACCAACAAUAGUACACUUUAACAAUGGCAACUCCACUUUUGUUGCCAUUGCAAGUUGAGUUUAAGGUUCUUUUAAGCUUUUUGAUUCUUUCAAAAAAGAGAAAAAAUGGUUUUGAUGGGAAAUCAAUCAAGAAAUGGUCACAAAGGGGGGCCUUGACAAUAUACUCAAACAAAACAACGUAUAUAAGAAACAGAAACAAAGAUCAAUACCAGAAAAAAGUAGUUUGAAGUAAAACGAGCAUAGAACAUAUAACCUUAAUUAGGAAGGACUUGCCACCGCCGAUCAAGCACCCAAUUCUGAGAGAAUCUGCUUAACGACGAUGGAGGAAACUUAAAGACGCAACCAACGAAACAGAGACAAAACAAACCCCAACCAGAUAGUAAUUUAAUAAGAACCCACUCAUCAUUCUGACAAACUUCACCACAGCCAACGGCUACUCGUACCAUUCACUUCCCUGAUUUCUUUGCUGCAGACUUGGUGACCUUGGCGCCCGAUGCAUCCUUCUUCUCAACGGCCUUGAUGACACCAACAGCCACGGUUUGACGCAUGUCCCUCACGGCAAAUCGUCCAAGAGGGGGAUACGCAGAGAAUGUUUCCACCACCAUAGGCUUGGUGGGAAUCAUCUUAACAAAUCCAGCAUCUCCGUUCUUCAAAAACUUGGGCUCUUUCUCCAGUUCUUUACCAGAUCGCCUGUCAAUCUUAGUUAAAAUCUCGGCAAAUUUGACAGCAAUGUGAGAUGUGUGGCAAUCGAGUACAGGUGCAUAACCAUUUCCAAUCUGUCCUGGAUGGUUCAUGAUGAUAACUUGGGACGUGAAAUUGGCAGCUUCCUUGGCAGGAUCAUCCUUGGAAUUUGAGGCAACAUAACCACGCUUGAGAUCCUUCACAGCAACAUUCUUCACGUUGAACCCCACGUUGUCACCAGGGAGAGCUUCUUGGAGAGCUUCGUGGUGCAUCUCCACAGACUUAACUUCAGUAGUCAGUCCAGAUGGAGCAAAGGUUACCACCAUACCAGGCUUUAUAAUGCCAGUUUCAACACGACCCACUGGAACAGUUCCAAUACCUCCAAUCUUGUAGACAUCCUGAAGUGGAAGACGAAGGGGUUUGUCAGAUGGCCUCUUAGGCUCUUGGAUCAGAUCGAGAGCCUCAAGAAGGGUCGGUCCCUUGUACCAGUCGAGGUUGGUGGAUCUUUCAAUCAUGUUGUCACCCUCAAAGCCAGAGAUGGGGACGAAGGGAAUUUUUUCUGGGUUGUAGCCAACCUUCUUGAGGUAGGAAGAAACUUCCUUCACAAUUUCAUCGUACCUAGAUUUCGAGUACUUGGGCGUGGUGGCAUCCAUCUGUCACAUAAAUAGCCAAGUCAGUAAGUAACAAAACACGAAAAAACCAGAAUACUAAAGAAUCAGGAUUGACUAUAAACAUCAUUACCUUGUUACAGCAGCAAAUCAUUUGCUUGACACCAAGGGUAAAGGCAAGAAGGGCGUGUUCACGGGUCUGCCCAUCCUUAGAAAUACCAGCUUCAAAACCUCCAGUAGUGGAGUCGAUAAUAAGAACAGCACAGUCAGCCUGGGAAGUACCAGUAAUCAUGUUCUUGAUGAAAUCACGAUGCCCAGGGGCAUCAAUCACAGUGCAGUAAUACUUGGUGGUCUCGAACUUCCACAGAGCAAUAUCAAUUGUGAUACCACGCUCACGUUCGGCCUUAAGUUUGUCCAACACCCAGGCAUACUUGAACGAUCUCUUGUUCAUCUCAGCAGCUUCCUUCUCAAACCUCUCAAUAACACGCUUGUCAAUACCUCCAAGCUUGUAAAUCAAAUGGCCAGUAGUGGUCGACUUGCCAGAGUCGACAUGACCAAUGACCACAAUGUUGAUGUGAGUCUUUUCCUUACCCAUGCUUGAAUAUUAGGUCAAAGAACUGCGAAACAAGAAAAAGUUCACGAAAAAUAAGAAGAGCAAGAGCAGAUAACCAAAAUAUCAUUACUAAAAUUUGUGAAUAACCCUAAUUUUGUUAGAUUCACACAUCUAAAUAACGUUAAAAUUAAAAUAUCCACCACAAUAUCAACUCUUUUGGCUGGAAAACUUGUUGGUUAUAAAAAAAUGAUCGGAACUAGAACAGAGAAAAUAAAUAAAUAAAAAAAAACGAAAAACGACCAACCCAAUCAGCUAGACUAGAUUAAAAGCAGAUCUACGCGAUUGGCAGAACGACAGGGGACGUCUCGAUAGAUUGAUGAACAGAUACAUAAAACUAGCAUAAAAACAAAAGGGCAGGGACAAGAAGAAGAACAGAAGAAAUUAUAAUUCAUGCUAGGAUCUAGACGAGAAAAACAGUAAAAGCUAAAGAAAUAAGAGAGUAUCAAGCAUAUAGAAGAAAGAAAUCGAGAAAAGGAAGAAGAUAGGGGGAAAGCACAACCUGAGGAGAAAUGCUGCUGUUAAACCCUUGCGGCGAGAGAUGGAGAAUGGCAAUGGGAUUGAAGGGGUUAACAAUAGGGUUUGAGGAUCCUUAUAUAUGCAAUGUCUGAAUUCCUUUGUUGACGAAAAUACCCUUAUCAUAAUUUCAACAUUCCUACACAGUGGCUCUCAACAAUAAAAGAUUUUCGAAUUUACCUACUAGAUUCCAAAUAAAAUAAAGUAACAUUUUAGAAUAUAGUAAAAUUUGUCAAAUUCUAUCAAUGAUAUAAAUGUAUCAACGAUAGACAUGUUACAAAUAUUAGUCUAUCACUAAUAGACCAUACGAAGUCUAUAGUUUUGUUAUAUUUGCAAUUUUUUAAAAAUGUUAAUAUAUUAUUAAUUACUAUUCAUAAAAUGAUCAUCAACUACGAUUUUUAAAAAAAGUUCUUUUUUUCUCAACUUUCCAUUUCAAGUUAAAGGUUUAAAAAAUAUCAUCAAAACUCUUGGAAAGGUUAAAAAACAUGUUUAAAAAAUAUAACUAUUAAAAGUUUCAAAAAUUCCCUUGAAUUUAAAAAAUGUUAAAGGAAAAACUUUCUUAAAAUGUAAUAUGAACUAAAAGUGUAAUAUCUCGCUAAAAAAUAACUUUAAAUUAAAAAUGUCUUUAUCGUUAAUACAUUGAAAAUUUUAUUUGAAUUUGUUAAGUUUGAUUAGAUUGACAAAUAUUUGUUUUAUGGCUUUAGAUAUAAAAAUUGUGACAUUGAUGUUAUUUUUAAAAAAUGGAUGAUCUACCAAAAUGUUGAUUAUCCAAUAUACUUUUCCUACGAGUAGUUGUGUUUUCAAUUUCUCAUGUUGGCAUCUUCCUUUAUGUAGCGUGUAGUUGCUUUGGAGGUUAGGGUUGCUUAUUUGUGAUUUCACUGUGCAUAUUUCAAGGACACUUAGUUCUAAGGUUUGGGUUUUGGCGGUUUAGUUUGUUUUAAUAGCAACAUUUGUAUUGUCUUUAUGUAGUAUUUUCAGCUUGUGUUAGAAGAAGAGAGUGCUACGUGUAUUUGAGGCAUACUCCAUUCUCCCUACUACUGUGCAUUGUGAUGUACUGAGAAGAGAUUAUUUAUGUUUAGGGGAUCUUAAAUAUACCAACGAGAUAUUAACAGUUUCAAAUAAAUUUAUUACUAUACUAACGAUAGAGAUAUUUUUAAUUAUUUAGAGUUAGUUUUUGCAACGAGAUAUUAACAAUUUUAGAUCAUAUACUAAUUGUGAGAGUAAAUUUAAAAGAAUAUAUAAUUUAAGGGUGUUUUUUAAAUUUUUCAAUAAUUGAGGAAUAUUUUUAACAAAACUUUAACCUUCUACAUCCAAAACUAACAUUAAGGGUAUUUUCGAACCCUUUUCGAAAGUUUGAGAGUAUUUUUUAAACUGUUGAAAGUUUAGGGGUAUUUUUUACUCAAAAUACAAAAUUGGGGGGUGUUUUUUUUACAAUUUAGCGUUUUUUUUGUGUUUUUUCUAGGCCAAUAUCAAUUUAUACCUCUGAACUUUAGAUGUUGUAUCAAUUUAAACUUUGAACUUUCUUAUAUGCAUCAAUUUAAACUCUCAACUUUCACAAAUGUGUCCAAGUAAAACAUAAUGGACGAUUUAAAAUGAUUCAUGUUAUAAGUGUAAAGUCUAAAUUGAUACAAUUAAUAGUUUAGGGUCUAUAUUGAUACAAAUUUUAAAGUUGAGAGUUUAAAUUAAUACAAUUAUUAGUUUAAGGUUUAAAGUUCAUUGAUAUAAAUUGAAAUUAGCCCAAUUUUUUUUUAAAAAAAAACUUUAAACUAAUUAAAACUACGAGCCACUACCGUGAAGGCAUAAGUGAACCAAAGUAGGAAAGAUCAAGCCUAAGUUUUUCAAUGACUGACUCAACUUUGAAUCACUCUACUUUGUGGUACAGUCAACUCUUCCCUUUUUUAUUGAGUCAAGUUAAGUCGAAGCAACGAGACCUAGUGUCAUGCCCUACUCCAAAUGACUCUUCAUGCGACCAAGUGGAGGCAUGUCGCCUAGACAAUCAAUGCACAACUUCUGCGAGAUGGUACGCUAAACACCUAGUAAGCGGAACUACUUCUUACAGCACAAGGUUAAGCGCACAAUUUGUACUUUAAUGAAACAAGAGAACUUCAUUGAUAGACAAUUUACAAGAGUACAUUUGAUUCCUAUUACACAAAUCGUUCAAAAGAGGACACAGACUCAACAACGACUUGACUUUUCCCCACUUAGCUUCUACAUGCUACACGAGAUAAUAGUAGCCACUACCAAGACAAUGUGAUUUAGGAGGUACGGUAGACGAUCAAGACAGCAAAUUCUAUGUCAGAUGUCCUUUGCUACCUAAGGGGGAUGAAAUAAACAUUAGAAGGGUUGGGCGAAAAUGUCUAGUGAAUGGAAUCUCUUAACAGAUGUUUUAUGUAAAUUAAUCGUUUUUUUACCAGAUAAUCAGCUCCAGAACAGGUAUUAUAGCAAAAUGUGUCGAAUGUCAUUUAUCUCUUACAACACUACUCCGAAGAAAGAAUUUAUUUAAAACAAUAUAAUAGUGUUAAUAAUAAAAAAGAUCAAGAUUGAGGAUAAACACAUUACCUUCGUCAUUUUAUGAGUUUUGUCCUCCCACGUUAUGCAAACUUGUUGGAAGCUUUGGCAAUAGUUGUGGCUGAAUGUUGAAGCAAUCAUUCAAGUACAAUGCUAUUAAGUUAGUAAGUCGAGGGAGGCUUUGUUUGAGCCUUACAAAAGAAUUCUUGCUAAGGUCAAGAAUUUCCAAUAAGAAAAGACAUUUGAUAUCAUCACGAAUAUCUUCGUCCACAAUAUUGCAAUCACUUAGAUUCAAAUCUCUAAUAGGCAAAACAUCAUUACUCCCAACCAAAUCAUUCAAUGACCACCAAAUAUUUUUUGAAAGCCUUUCACAAUUCAAAGUUUCAAGACUCUUUAAACGAGCGAUAGCAUUUGGUGCUUGAUCUAUAAAUGUUCCUCCAUUGUCAAGCAUGGUAAGAGAUUGUAUUGUCCCCAAAGUGAAAGGAAAUUUGGUGGAGGUUUUUGCAGCCAUUCAAAUUGAGAGUUUGAAGUGAUAUCAAUUUUCAAAUUGAUGUUGGAAGACUUGAUAGCUUAGUACAAUCCCUUAGGUUCAAUUAAGUUAAGUGAGCUAGAAGUCCAAAUGAUGAAGGAAGGUCUUGUAUAAGAGUUCCAUCAAGGUGAAGUUCAGUUAAAGUUUUGGUUGGUUUUUCAAUCUUUGGUAAAGAUUUAAGGCAUAAAUUGGAAAGAAUUAAUGUUUGGAAUCUUUUGCAAGUUACUAGUUUAGAUGGAAAUGUUUUGAGAUUGACACAAUUUGCCAUAUGAACUAAAACAAGAUGGUUGAGAGUAGUAAUGGAAGAAUGAAUCACACACAAUCUUGCACAAUUCCUUGACAUCAACCUUUGGAGAUUUGGAAGCUUGGGUCUCAACCAAAUUCUGUGAUCCACUCACAUCAAACUCUUUCAACCUACUAAAUUCAUGUGGAAAACAAGUCCACACCAUCACAUUAGAUACCACUCUACUUCUCAAAUUCUUACCCAAAAAUAAAAGGAGAGUUGAAAAUUUGGUCAUUUGAAAAAGAGGAAGAAAAAUUCUUGAGAGAGAGUCGACUGAGAAAGUUGUUUAGAGAGAAUCUCUACAAGGAAUUUUUUUUUGAAGCAAAUAUUCCCAAUGUAGGUUUUAUUUAUUCACUUUAUUACUAUAUUUAUUUUUUUUCUUUAUCCUAAACAAUUUAAUCAAUGGAAAAUUUAGUUGAAUAGUGCAUUUGGCUCGGAUUUAUUUCCAAGAAUUCAUACCUCAUACGACAAGUCUUUCGGAUUUGAAUCAUUGUUUUUUUCUCUUUCUAAAGGUUGUGAGAGAAUUUAUUUUCUCUCGCUACUUUUUUGUAUAGUUAUUUCUUUUUCUAAAAAGACAAAUCUUUAGUCUUUUUCUUCUCACUAACAAAAAUAGAGAGAAAGAAAAGUGUUUUGUUUUUUAAUUUUUAACUAUCAUAUAUUUGUUUAAAAUAAUAUUAAAAACAUGACAUUAAUAUAAUUGUGAGAGUAAGAUCAACAAAGUAAAUACAAUAUCAAAUUUGGUCCUAACCUACUAUAAAUUAAUAAAUCCAUAUCCUAAUUUUGGUAGAUAAAAAUAAAUCCUACUCAAAUCUUUUAUAAUGAUUUCAUAUGAGUUAUCUAAUAAAUGCUAAUUACUUCUUCUCUAAUAUUCAAUUUUCUUAUUAUACUUAGACAUUACUAAUGUAAAGUGAGGGUGGUACGUUUCCUUUGACCAAAAUUUGAUAUCAUAUGCAUGUUACAUAUACGUGUGUGCAACAUGUAGAGAGUAGUGAAGGGGUGAACAUAGAUAUUGGGGAGAGAUCUACACAAUCAUGUACCAAAUUUAAAUGAUCCUGGUAAACGAUUGUUUAUAUUCGUAAGGAAAGAGAAAUGACAUGAUACUGGAGAUGACGCCGAAGGUAAGAUAUGACAAAGAAUAAAAAAAUUAUGGAAGAGUCACGAAGAAAUUAUGAAUAAGAAGAUGUGGGAAUAUGGAGAAUGAUUAGGACUAUGAUAUAUGAUACCUAAUAAUAUAAAAAAAAUGUGCAAGCAUAACUCGAAAUUCAAAACUAAUAAAGGUAAAUCUAGAUUUUUUUUGUUACACGGAUCAUAAAUAUUUUUUAGUUUUGUUAUAUAUAUGUGUGUUUAAUUAACCAUUUUUUAUUUAUUCAAUCUAAUUUAAUUUUUGUUUUCAUAUGAUUUUUUUUAUUAAUUCAAAUUUUAUUCUAGUGUUUUUUUUAAUAAUUAUAUAUAUAUAUAUAUAUAUAUAUAUAUAUAUAUAUAUAUGACAACAAAUAUGUGUCAUUUAUAUUGUUCACAAAUGACCUUCUCAUUAACCUCUAUGUGAAAACCUAAAUCACUUAUAUGUGACUCUGCCUUCUAGCCAUCGAUCUAUUUUGCUACUUUGGUGAGUAUUCGAUUAAGUUUUGGUACUUCCAUCAAAUAUCUCAAAUAUCUAUUUUUUUUUAAUUAUCCCAAAAAGUUGAUCUGAUUUUAACCAAAAUUGUAAAUCCCAAAAAGUUGAUUGAUUUUAACCAAAAUUGUUGAUUGAGUUAACUAAGCUAAGACGCAUAACUUGAUUGAUAUGAAUGAUUGAAAUGUUAUGACAAAUGAUAUAUUAAUCACAUGACAACGACGUUCCGAUUGAUAUUUAUGUCAUGUUAUAAUAUGUUACAUGUUAUGGACAAGUGUUCUACUAACUUUAUCUAAUUACAAGUAAUUCCUAAAAAUUUACGGUCUUCAAUUAAUACAAAAUAAAUAAAUUACAACGAUUAAUAUCGAUAAAUUAAAAAUUAAUGAAAACAUAGAUUUUAAAAUUAAAAAAAAGGUUGAAAGAUAGAUUAGUAUUAAAUUAAAAAUGAAAGAAUUUAGUUUUUAAAAAUGAAAAAUAAAAUUCAAAAUGAAUAAAGAUUAAAAAAAAGUAUAAUUUAGUUUUUAAGAAUAAAAUUAAAAUUCACAAAGAUAAAAAGAUUACAUGAAUUUUUAUUAAAAAAGUACAAUUUAGUUUUCAGAAAUGAAAAUUAAGAUUCAAAUAGAAUAAAGAUACAAAAAUUAUAUAAAAAAUAAAGAAAAAAAAGUUGAUUUAGUUUUUUUAAAAAAUCAAAUUGGAAAAAGAAAAUAUAUAUAGAGAGAGGUCCACAAAUUCUUUUAUAAACAAAAAUUAUAGAGUUUGAUAAUCUAAAUAAAUUAGGAACUAAUACACAUUCAAGAAGAUUAUAUUACAAAAAAUAUAUAGUUAAUUUUAAGUUUUAGGUAAAAGUAAUAAAUUGAAUAAAAUUUCAAGUAAAUAUUCAAAUAUUAAAAAUUUAAAUUUUAAAUAUACACGUGCAAUUAAAGACUAGUAAAUAUUCAAAUACUAAACACCCAUAUUUCAUUUGGAUUCAUAAGUAAAGUGUGUAAGAAAAAUUAUGAAGGCAAUGAGAAAGGAAUUGGUAAAUAAUGUGUUGAAACAAAAACGAUAAAUGUAUUAAGCAAUAAAUAAGAACUCAUAACAAGUCGUUUGAAAUAAAACAGCCAUAAAACAUAGAAAUUUCAAAGAUAAAAAUGGAAGACUUGCCACCGCCGAUCAAGCACCCAAUUCUGCGAAAAGCUACUCACCGACCAUGGAGGAAACUUGAAGACAUAACCAACCAGACACACACAACACACAACCCAACAACCACAGAACGUAUUAAUAAGCUUCCAGUCAUCAUGAUGAUUAACAUCAAGCCGUUGGCCGCCAACGGCUACUCGCACCAUUCACUUCCCUGAUUUCUUUGCUGCAGACUUGGUGACCUUGGCGCCGGAUGCAUCCUUCUUCUCAACGGCCUUGAUGACACCAACAGCCACAGUUUGACGCAUGUCCCUCACGGCAAAUCGUCCAAGAGGGGGAUACGCAGAGAAUGUUUCUACCACCAUGGGCUUGGUGGGAAUCAUCUUAACAAAUCCAGCAUCUCCGUUCUUCAAAAACUUGGGCUCUUUCUCCAGUUCUUUACCAGAUCGCCUGUCAAUCUUAGUUAAAAUCUCGGCAAAUUUGACAGCAAUGUGAGAUGUGUGGCAAUCGAGUACAGGUGCAUAACCAUUUCCAAUCUGUCCUGGAUGGUUCAUGAUGAUAACUUGGGACGUGAAAUUGGCAGCUUCCUUGGCAGGAUCAUCCUUGGAAUUUGAGGCAACAUAACCACGCUUGAGAUCCUUCACAGCAACAUUCUUCACGUUGAACCCCACGUUGUCACCAGGGAGAGCUUCUUGGAGAGCUUCGUGGUGCAUCUCCACAGACUUAACUUCAGUAGUCAGUCCAGAUGGAGCAAAGGUUACCACCAUACCAGGCUUUAUAAUGCCAGUUUCAACACGACCCACUGGAACAGUUCCAAUACCUCCAAUCUUGUAGACAUCCUGAAGUGGAAGACGAAGGGGUUUGUCAGAUGGCCUCUUAGGCUCUUGGAUCAGAUCGAGAGCCUCAAGAAGGGUCGGUCCUUGUACCAGUCGAGGUUGGUGGAUCUUUCAAUCAUGUUGUCACCCUCAAAGCCAGAGAUGGGGACGAAGGGAAUUUUUUCUGGGUUGUAGCCAACCUUCUUGAGGUAGGAAGAAACUUCCUUCACAAUUUCAUCGUACCUAGAUUUCGAGUACUUGGGCGUGGUGGCAUCCAUCUGUCACAUAAAUAGCCAAGUCAGUAAGUAACAAAACACGAAAAAACCAGAAUACUAAAGAAUCGGGAUUGACUAUAAACAUUAUCACCUUGUUACAGCAGCAAAUCAUUUGCUUGACACCAAGGGUAAAUGCAAGAAGGGCGUGUUCACGGGUCUGCCCAUCCUUAGAAAUACCAGCUUCAAAACCUCCAGUAGUGGAGUCGAUAAUAAGAACAGCACAGUCAGCCUGGGAAGUACCAGUAAUCAUGUUCUUGAUGAAAUCACGAUGCCCAGGAGCAUCAAUCACAGUGCAGUAAUACUUGGUGGUCUCGAACUUCCACAGAGGAAUAUCAAUUGUGAUACCACGCUCACGUUCGGCCUUCAGUUUGUCCAACACCCAGGCAUACUUGAACGAUCUCUUGUUCAUCUCAGCAGCUUCCUUCUCAAACCUCUCAAUAACACGCUUGUCAAUACCUCCAAGCUUGUAAAUCAAAUGGCCAGUAGUGGUCGACUUGCCAGAGUCGACAUGACCAAUGACCACAAUGUUGAUGUGAGUCUUUUCCUUACCCAUGCUUGAAUAUUAGGUAAAAGAUCUGUGAAACAAGAAAAAGUACGAAAAAUAAAUAAUAAAAAGAGUUGAUAGAAAAUAAGAAAAAGGAAGAUUAAAGAGGCAAAAAAAAAGCUCAUUAUUGAGACUUUCUGAACUUCACAUAUGGUAUUUGUAAAUCUAAAAUACCCACUCUAAUCUAAACCUCUAAACCUCGAUAAUCUAAACCUCUAAACCUCGAUGAUUAUCAAAAAAAAAAUUCUCAGAACUAACAAAUAAAAUAAACUGAAAAACAAAUUAAAAUGAAUCCAAUCCAAUCAGACUAGAUUAAAUGCAGACUAGAUUAAAUGCAGAUCUACAGAAGAUUAUCAACAACAACACUUACGUCGCAAAUAAAAUCGGCCAAUUCAAAACAAAACAAUGACAAAUAUGCAUAAAAGAUAAACAGGAAGAAUAGAAGAAUAAAAGAUAACGAAAAGCUCAUUAAUAAAGAAGUAAUACAAAAUAUAAAACAAAACUAGACUUCAUGAUCUACAAGAGAAGAACAAUAAAACGAAACUAGACUUCAUGAUCUACAAGAGAAGAACAAUAAGAGCUCUAAAAAUCAACAAGAAAAAUGAAGAAAACCUGAGGAGAAAGGUGUGCUGUUAAACCCUUGCGGCGAGAGAUGAGGAAUGAAAACUAGAUUGGAGGGGUUAAUAAUAGGGUUUGAGGAUUGUUAUAUAGUAUGUCUAAACAUGUUUUGUUGACGAAAAUACCCUCAACCAAAUUUCAUAAUUCAGUAGACCUAAACAGUAAAAAGUUGUAUUGAAACAGAAAAAGAUAAACAGUUUAAAAUAUCUCUUCAUUUAUUUGAAAUUAUUAUUUACCAUUACAAAUUUUAUGUUUGUUCACAUCUUCUAAAAAAUUUAGAUAUACAUCUCAAUGUUUAUUUGUUUAUUAUGGUUUAUAAUAAUUUUAUUUGAAAUAAUUAUAAUAGAUAGUAAUUUUAUGAAUAAUAAUUAAAUGUAUAACAAUUAUUUUUAAAAAAUUACAAAUAUAAAAAAGUAUAACAAUUAUUUUUAAAAAAUUACAAAUAUAAAAAAGUAUAUUUAGAGUGAACUUAUUUUAGUCGUAUCAGUUAUAAUAAUAUUGGUUGGGUUGAGAAUGUCUUCCAACCUAACCUAACCUAAUCUGAUUUAACUCCUACUUAUCGUUAACUUUUGGUUUUUCUUUUUAUAGGAUUAUAGUGGAAACCUGAGCUUAUUCUUUACAUAUUCUACAGCUUCUCAUUUUAGUGGAAAAUUUGAAUAAAGAGUUCAUAUCAAAUUAAACAAUUUGUUAAAAUAAUAAAGUUUAAAUAAAUGUGAUUUGAAAUAAAUUUAAUUUAUAGAAAAAAAACUAUAAUUUAAAAUAUAUUUUCUAGGAUGAAAGGUGAUGUUAUAUGGGAGUGAACUAUAUUUUCCAUCUAUAAGUUUUGUUUAUAAUUAGUACAUGGAUGUUAAUAAUUUUUUAUGAAUAUAUAAAUAAAUAUUGAUUUUAAUGAUAAAAAGUCCAUUCUUAUUUAAACAUAUACCUAAAUUUUAUAAUAAUUUUGUUUAGAGUUUUUAUCGAAUAUUAAUUACUUUUAUGAAAAUAAAAUAAUUUUAAUGAAAAAUCUAUUCUUAUUUAUAAUAAUUAUAAAUAUAACAAAAUAUUAAUAUAUUAAUAUGUACCAUCGAUAUAACAAAAUAAAAAAACUUAAGAAGUGGACCAUUUUUUAAAAUCCCAACAGGUUUGCUUUUUCUUUUUAUCUUUUUUCUUCGAUUUUUUUUUAUAUUUUUUGAAAUCAUAAUAUUUGAUCAAAAUAAUUUUUUAUUAUUUUUUUCGAGUGUUACUAGUUUAAGAUUGUGUACCAAAUAAAUGAAAUGUUGGUAUAUUUAGAUUUUGAAAAAUUAUUGUUCAUAUUGGUACAAAAUCUUAGAUUUGAGUAGCGAAAUCUAAGCUAUAUGAUAAUGAAUUUUGAAAAAAAAAUGCAAAUCUAACUAUCAUUGUGUACCAAAUCUAAACAAAUCAUGUACGGAAUAUUUACCAUACAUUCUUUCCAAACUAAAAUUUUAAGGUAAAUAUUAAUAUAAUCUUAAAGAGUUGUAUCAAUUAAAAGACUAAAUUAAUAAUUGUAACAACUUAACUCUUUAAGUUUAGAAAGUAACCAUCCAUUUCAGAUCUUGUUCAACUAAUAUGGUGUGGCAUUAAACUCUUAAAAUUUUAUACGUUGGUAAAUUUAGAUAUUUCUUUUUAAUUAUCUUAAAAUGCCACAUAUAUGUACUACUUUGGAAAGAAUUUUGAAUUAUGAUUAAGUAUUAGGAUAUAUACUCAUGUAUGUGGUUUAUACAUAUAUACUCAUGUAUUAAGAAAAAUGUUUUAUCCUUACUUUGUAUAAAAGUUUGUAAUAAUUAAUAUACAAAUCAAAUGUUGAAAUAUGUUUCCUAAUAUUACGAGUCUAAGGUCGUGUGUGUGAUUUUUUAACAUUUUCGGUUUUUAAUUUUGAAAAACAAUUCAUCUUGAAAAAAAAAUUAUUCAAAAAAUAUAUUUUUGCAACAUUUUCAAAAUUAUUUUAAAUAUUUUUUAUCAAAAGUAUUUAGAAAAUGAAAAUUAGGAUAAAUGAUAAAAACAAUAAAAAUAUUUACAAAAUUUAAUAUUUACUAAAUCUUUACUCGAUAUUUUAUCUCUAUGUCUUGAAAAAUACAUUAAAAUUUAGUCCAUAUAUUUGAUGAGUAGGACUUAGUUUCUAUACUUUUUGAUCAAACUCUCAUAAAUAGUCCUUAAAUUUAUAAUGAUUUUAUUAAAACUUUGGGAAAAGACUUCAUCAAACAUAAAGAUUGGAUUUAAAUUUUCUCUAAAUUAAAGUGUAUAUGACCCAAUCAAUAAUGUAAUUUAGUCUUACUUGACUUUAAAACCAUAAAUUAUGGGUAGAAUUAGAAGUAAACAAUAAUAGCAUAGCAAAUGAAAUCAAACUCAAAGUUAACCCAACAAAAGUUCACUUAUACAAGUACUCAAACCAUCCCCACCAAAUAAUGUAUCCAAUAGAUCACUUAUGAAAAACAUCCCACCAACGAAAAUAAAAAUUGUAUAGCAAUAACCUAUAAGACAACAAGAGAAACAGCAGUCCUUCCCCACCGACGAUCAAGAACCCAAUUCUGUGAAAACUCACUAGGGAAAGGGAGAAAAGUUUUGAAAAGAAAACAGACACAAAACACAACACAUAAUUCAAACCGCACAAUUCACUUACCAGAUUUCUUAGCAGCUGAUUUGGUGACCUUAGCACCACUUGGGUCCUUCUUUUCGACGCUCUUGAUCACACCAACAGCCACAGUUUGCCGCAUGUCUCUGACCGCAAAUCUCCCAAGUGGUGGAUACUCAGAGAACGUUUCCACCACCAUAGGCUUAGUGGGGAUCAUCUUAACGAAUCCAGCAUCACCAUUUUUCAAGAAUUUAGGCUCUUUCUCCAGUUCUUUACCAGAUCUUCUAUCAAUCUUUGUUAGAAUCUCCCCAAACUUGACUGCAAUGUGAGAGGUGUGGCAGUCAAGAACAGGGGCAUAACCAUUUCCAAUCUGUCCUGGAUGGUUCAUGAUGAUAACUUGUGAGGUGAAACUAGCAGCUUCUUUGGCUGGAUCAUCUUUCGAAUUUGAUGCAACAUAGCCACGUUUGAGAUCUUUUACAGCGACAUUCUUCACGUUGAAUCCCACAUUGUCACCAGGGAGAGCUUCUUGGAGAGCUUCAUGGUGCAUUUCAACAGAUUUUACUUCAGUAGUGAGGCCAGUUGGAGCGAAGGUGACGACCAUGCCGGGUUUUAUAAUGCCAGUUUCGACACGGCCUACUGGGACUGUUCCAAUGCCGCCGAUCUUGUAGACAUCUUGAAGUGGAAGACGAAGGGGUUUGUCAGAUGGUCUCUUGGGCUCGUGGACUUGGUCGAGAGCUUCGAGAAGGGUAGGGCCUUUGUACCAGUCGAGAUUGGUGGAUCUUUCAAUCAUGUUGUCACCUUCAAAUCCAGAGAUGGGGACAAAGGGGAUUUUGUCCGGGUUGUAGCCAACUUUCUUGAGGUAGGAUGAAACUUCUUUGACGAUUUCAUCGUAUCUAGAUUUGGAGUAUUUGGGAGUAGUGGCAUCCAUCUGUUAAACAAACAAAUCAAACACACCCAUAACUAAAACAGGGAAAUUGACCCAAUUUGCCUUUUCUCUCUAUAAAACAGUGAAAAAGAGGAAAUGAAAGUUGGUUGAGAUUACCUUGUUGCAGCAGCAGAUCAUUUGUCGAACACCAAGGGUAAAGGCAAGAAGGGCAUGUUCACGAGUCUGCCCAUCCUUAGAAAUACCAGCUUCAAAACCUCCGGUAGUUGAAUCAAUGAUAAGAACAGCACAGUCAGCCUGGGAAGUACCAGUAAUCAUGUUCUUGAUGAAAUCACGAUGCCCAGGAGCAUCAAUCACAGUGCAGUAGUACUUGGCGGUCUCGAACUUCCACAAAGCAAUAUCAAUUGUGAUUCCGCGCUCACGUUCAGCCUUAAGCUUGUCCAAAACCCAAGCAUAUUUGAACGAUCUCUUGUUCAUCUCAGCAGCUUCCUUCUCAAACCUCUCAAUAACACGCUUGUCAAUACCUCCAAGCUUGUAAAUCAAAUGGCCAGUGGUGGUCGAUUUCCCAGAAUCGACAUGGCCAAUGACCACAAUGUUAAUGUGAACCUUCUCCUUACCCAUACUUGAAUUUCAGCUACAAAAUACAAUCUGUUGCAAAAUAAAAAUUGAAACUGAAAUCAUCAUAUGCAUAUAACUCAGCCAAAGAAAACCGAAAAGUAAUACUAGCUCGUAAGAUCAAUUAAACCCAAAUUUCCAAAACAUAAACAUACUUCAACGAUUAAAUCCUUAACCAAAAAGAUUUCAGCAGCAGGGUUUUGAAAUCAAGAAAGCAUUCACCAUAAAAUAAAGUACAUACUUGUGAUCAGAGGAAACAGAGAGAGUGUAAAGUCAACGCGAUUUGGAGAACGAGAAACAAAUCCAAAAACUGUAUGGAAUUUGUUUUUGAUACCGCCUUUGUUGAUUCCUUCCACAAAAACUGUCUAUGCAAGCAAGUAGAAAUAAAUAGACUUAUGAGACUAAAACUUGGUGUCCAAGCAAAAUAGAAAUAGUAUAGAUGUCUGUUUGAAUAUUCUUUUCCAUUUUCUCGAAAUGAAUGGAAAAGUCUUUAUUUAAUCUUUUCAUUAGUUCCAAAUCGGGUGAUUUUAAAAAAAAUCGGUAGCAAGUUGUAGCAAGUUGGGUGUUUUGAUUGGUUGAGAAGAGCAAUCACUUGUCUCCAUUUGGUAGCAGAGUUUUGAAAUGUCAAAAACUGAAUCAUGAAGUUUUCUCCACUUACAGCUUCCAAAAUCAAACAUUGUUCCAGUAAUAAAUUUAUAUCUCAUUUGCUAAUCAUUUGAUAAUUAAACCUACGUUGUUUUCUUCAACUUUCUGCAUGUUGUUUUCUUAUGUAAGAGAGUCGAAUUUUUAUUAAGUGUUUUAAAACCAACUAUUUUUUAAAUAAAACAAGAAAAUUAAAGAUAAAACCGUGUUUAUGAAUAGAUUUAUUUUUUUUAUAAAAUAACAAAAUCAUUAUCAAACAAGUCCUUGUUCAAAUGAUGGUUGUGGAUAUUGUUGAAGCUUAUUAAAAGAAAGUCACGGAAGAUGCCGUGAAGAACACAAUGCAAUUACUUCGAUUGUGAAGGAUGAUGGUAGUAGAAACAUCAUCUUCAAUUAAAGCAAGGAAAGUUUUGUCUCAUACGUGAAUUUAGAAUCUUGAACCAAGGAAUCAAGGACAUAUGCAUUGAACAUGUUCUCACCACCUGCAACUCUUUUGACCAUAUAAAAAGCUUAUUUUUGGGAGCAAGAAUAGACUUCAAGGAUGCAAACAACUACUAAUCCAUUUAAUCUAAGAACUUCGAGUUCCUGCCAUUUACUUAGAGAUCAUCUAGAGUCCAUCAUCCCAUUGACGAAGAAACCACCCGUUAUGUUUAUGGAUUAUGUUUCCUAUAAUAUACCAAAACUUCAAUUAUAUAUGUCGUUCUGAUAUUAAUCCAUCAGUGUUGAAGCUACCAAUUUUCCCUUAUUUUUUCAGACCAUAACAUUUGCUAAGAACCAACUGAUAUUUCUUUCACUUUCCAAGGUUACUAAAUUGCAGAUAAAGAAAUUCUGUUUAGAAAUGCAAUCUCCCAAUUCAAAAUGAAUCUCCAAAUUAGAAUCACUCAAACCUCUUCAUAAGAGAAGCUGAAAAGUAUUCGUAGAACAAAAACUCAUCACCCCAUGAAGGAAAUAUCAUCCUUCAUAUCAUCAGUUAAAAACACCACUCAAAUAACAAUGACAAUCAUCUAUCAUGGAUCCAUACAACUGCAUCUAAAAAUCCCCCCCAAUCCAGAACAGCGUUUUGAAUUUCUCUACACGUUUCAGUUAUAUUUUCGCAUAAAAUCAAUUCUAAAUUCAUAAAAAAAUUACAAAAAAAUAAGAAAAAAUUGGCAGAAUGUUCUAACUAUUCUACAUGGUCACAUUUGUUGACCAUGACAACAUAUUUAAAUAUUUAGUAUUCAAGAUUGUAAAAUAUUGUUGGAGUCUAUCAAUCUACGAAGACACAAAUUUAAAAUUUUCAAAACUUUAAACUAAGUCCUUUGAAUAAAAAUCUUGGACUUGUCAUCGUUGCUAUAUAUAUUUACUUGAUAAAUGAUAGAAUAAAGACUAAUUGAUAUGAUAUAUAUGGAAGAAAUAGUGAUUUCUGAAUAGACCAAAUAUUCAUAUAAGGCUAAGAAUAAAUAAAGUAAAUCAAGAAGUGAAAUAAUUAAAUAAUAGUUAUUAAAAGAUUAUUUUGUUUUCUUUAUUUAUACUAUCGGAAUGAAAUAAAGAAAAAAAAAGGAAUCCGACCUGCCGGAUUCGAACCAGCGACCUAAGGAUCACUGAGCAAACUACAGUCCUCCGCUCUACCAACUGAGCUAAGGUCGGAUGAUGUUAAGAAGAACUAAAUUAAUAUAGUUAAUCCAAUUAUAUUAUAUCAUAUUGGUCAUUGGAUGCAUCGCUUUCUUGGUUUUGCAAUGCCAAUUGGGAAUUUCUUUUAACCUUCUAGAUUAUUUGAUGGCCCCCACAUGCUCUAUUUUAUAUCAAACAUAAUAUUAUUAAUAUAUUCUUUUUAGUACAAACCACGAAACUUUCCUAUUUUUAAAUUUGUAGAUUUUAUAAAAUAUUUAUAACUUACACCAAAUUCUAGAUUGGUUAUAGAAUCCAAAAAUUUUUAUAACUUUUAAAUAUUUUAAUUUAUUUUUUACUUAAAAAAAUGCUCAUUUUAAUUACAAACUUUCUUUUUCAAUUUUUCAUAAUAAAUUCAACAAACCUAUUGUUUAAUAAUUUCAAUUCUGAAAUGUUUUUUUUAAGUAAAUAAAUUUUAAAAAUAUUUUUAAAAAUAGCAAAAUAAAUUAAAAUAUUUACAAGUUAUAGCAAAAUUUUGAAUUUUAUCACUAAAAGUUUUCUAAUCGGUUAUAUAAUUUGCUUUAGGUUAUAUUUUGUAAAAUUUACUAUUUUUUAAAAAAUCUCAUUCUAUCCUUCUUUGAAUUGUAAACACUUACGUGCUUGUGAUAAUCAUUCAAAUUGUAGAGAAAAACAGGUUAGAGCUUAUUUAUUUAUUUAAGUUGCUAAGUUAUCUAAUAAAUAAACAUGAACAUUGGUCAUAAGUCUGAAUUUAGCCCAAAUUUAUUUAAGAGUAUGAAAGUUGCAAUUUUUGUUUAUAAAAUUUGUUGAAAUUAGUGUAAAAUACAUGUUUUAUUCGUCUAUUUAGUCUAUGAGAUUUUAUGUAUAAUUAAUUCAAAGUGUUGAAAGAAAGUUUGAGAAAGAAUUCAAAGAUGUAUUUGUUGUGUUGACUACACACAACCAAUUAGUUUCACUUUCCAUAGAAAUUCAAUCAAAAUAACCCAAAACACAAUUUCCUAUGAAUUUAAUUACUUUGACAUUUGACUACCCCCUGCAAUCUAUUUUUAUUUUGAAAUUUUGGUAAUAUAUAGUUUAAUCUUUUAUAUGAGUUUAUGCCAAAAAUAAUUUUUUUCUUAUAACAAAUAUGUAAAUGAGAUGUUGAAUCCAAUCUUAAAAUCUCAAAAUUGUGGUUCGUGAUUUAAAAUUUGUUUCUAAUUGAAUAAAAUUCAAAAGCAAAAUCAGAUUUUUCACUAGUUCUAAUUUAAAAUUUUAAAAUCUAUUUAAAAUUUAAAUUUAAAUUUAAAUUUUGUGUUUAAUUAUGAAUUAGAAAACUCAAUUUUGUAUUUUAUAUUUAUAAUUUUUUAAAUCAAAGUUUAAAAAUUUUAUUGUUUAAGAUUAAUUUUUAUAAAUAUAAUAAAUCGGUAAAAUAUGUAAAUGGGUAUGAAAAUCAUCCUUUUUUUAGUAUAUUUCAUCAUUGUCUUUCUUUUUCAUAGUCUUUCUUUUCUUUUCUCUACUACACUGUUUUCUUUACAUCGUCCAAUUUUUUAAAUAUUUUUCUUUAUCUUUCUUUUUUUUUUUUUUUCAAUUGUUCUCUUCCAUUUUUCUUAUUCUCCAAUUAUUUUUUAUUCUUUUUUCAAACGAAUAUUUGGUUCAAUAUCAAAUAUUUUUUUUUAAACUGUUAUUUGGUUGUUGUUUAAAAUUUGGUGUCAAAUAUAAAAGACCGUCAAAAAAUAAUUGAUAUUGUAUAAUCAAAUCUAAAUUUAAACGAUCUUUUUUAAAUAUAUUACUAAAUCAGAUGCCAAUUAAUCUAGAACAUUUGUUGUAUUUCUCGUUAUAGGUAUGUGAUAUUUUUCUAUUUUUUAAGUUACUCUAUAAUGCGUAAAUAUUUUAACACUUUGUUAUAUUUUUUAAAAGAUCCUUCAAAUAAAUUAUGUCAAUUCACAAAAUAUUGUUUAAAAAAAAUGAGUAAACCAAAUACAUUUUAAUUGUUUUCCUAGUAUUAUUUUAUUUUGAAAACAUAAAAAUGAAAAAUGAAUUCCAAAUUAAAAGAGACCUAGAGUUCUCUCAUAAAAAAAGAAAAAAAAGAAAAACACUUUUUCUCUCUUUUUUCUACCAAUUCAUUGAAUUUUUUUAAUCAACAUUAAGUUUAACAUUGGUCUUUUUAGCUUUCAAUUAUAUAUUUAAUCACCAUUAUGAGUUAUUUUAAUUUAUAUCUUCCAUCAAUCUAAUCUCUUUACUUGUAAAAAAACACAAAAGUAAAUCAAUAUAUAUAACAAUAAUAAUUUACUAUUAUUUUGUUGGGAUUUAAUUUUAAAUAAUACUGCCCCAUCAACAAUUGGAAUCUUUUCAAUAUAUUAACAUACCCACUCCCAAAACUAAGCACCAAUUCUUAAAUUAAUCUUCAUAAAUCUUAAAUUAAUAACUAACAAUUCCUUCAUGCUUCCAACUAAACUCCAUUUUCAUCCCUAAUUAUAUACUUUUAUUAUAUUUUCAUGUUUUGACUUUUUAUAUUUUCAACACUUUAUAUAACUCUUAAUUUCUCUUUUCUUUUUUUAAACUUCAUAUAAAACUGAAAAUGAAAAAUUAUAGCUAUAUAUAUACAUACACACACACACACAUGUAGGGUAGAAGAAAUAUUCAAAUUUUGAAGCAAAUUUGAUCUUCCAAAUUGGAGACAAAUGCUUCUACCAAAUUGAAAUAUUGUGCAACAGUUGACAAUAUAAAUAUUCAACAUUACAAAAAUAUACCUUUUUAUCAUUUUAGGAUAAUAUUUUAAAGAAAAUCAUUAAAUAUUGGAGUUUAUAAUUUAGAGAAGAAGAAAAAAAAAGUCAUAAGGACACAGAAAACAAAAUAGAUAAAACUAUAAAGAUUUGAUAAACCAAACAAAAUAUAAUAAAAAAAAUAAAAAUCUAAAGAUUGGGGACUAAAAUUAAUUUUAGUAAAUGAAUAAUAACAAACAAAAUUAAUUUUAGUAAAUGAAUAAUAACAAAAUGGUUUUUAUACAUUUGGGUGAAUAAAUGUAUGGUUCUAGAAAGUUUUAUAUGUCACGUAUAUAUAUAUAUAUUAUAUAUUUGAUGGGAUAAUUUAUUAAUUUAGUUGUAGUUAAUUAAUGUUUGAAUGUUAGUAAUGAAAUGAAAGAUAAUAACCAAAAUGAUUUAAACGUAAUUGUCCCAUCAGGCGAACUUAGUCCGCCAUUGCAUUUAAAAUCACUUUCUCCGUCUGCUCUUCUAGAAGGCGAGGGAUGGCCAGCAGUAUCCUUUCAUUUCACCUCCAAAUUAUAGAAUACUCUCACUUUCUAUUUUCCCUAUAGAAAUAUAUAUAUCCCCCUCAGGCCUCCAUUGAUAUCAAUUUCUAUUUUUCUUUUUUUCAAAAUUUUUCAUCUUCUACCUUCACUUUCCUUUUUUUCUUCAUCAUCAAUCCAUCUAUCACAAUCCAUUUCAGUUUCCAUUCUUUCUUAAAUUACUACCUAAAGAAACUCAGGAAAAAAUUAUGAUUCUAGCUUAUAAAGAAUCGUAUAACAGAGUAGAAGAUACGGACUCCUCCAUCAUCAUCAAUCAACAUCCACAUCCACAUCCACAUCAACACCAUGAACAACAACAAGAAGAAGAAGACGAAGAAGAAGACGAAGAAGAAUCUGUAGAAACGCUCUCUCUUUGCGACCUUCCAAUUUACAGCGAUGAAUCUAAUUGUGAUGAUUAUCAGAGCGCUUCCUUUGAUGAUCAUAACCAAGAAGAUGAUACAUUCUUCGAGUUUUUCAGCCAUGAUUUCUCUGUUGCUAAUUCAUCUUAUUCUGGAUCUGACAACAUUAUCUUCUGCGGCAAAUUGAUUCCCUACAAACAACCAAGCGAUUCCCAAAUCAAACCAUCGGACAAUUUUUCUGGUAAGAAAUCGUCUGUAAGUGAUACUAGAUCGGGACCAGGAGGAAUUAAAAGCUUCGAUCCGUUUUCGAUUUCAUUGACGAACAAUUCCAUUCCUGAGUACAUCAAACGGCCAAAGAGGAAAUGGAAAUUGCAGAAAUAUGAGUUACCGGAAGAGAGAGCGAUGAUACUGCAAUCGUCCCCGAUGAAAUCGCGGUGGUUCUUGUUCCUGUUUGGUAGCGCCAGGUUUCCGAAAGAGAUGGAACUGAGUGAGAUGAGGAUAAGGCAACGCCGGAGCAUGCGGUUGCCGGAACAACGGCAGCCAUCGUCGGAGGAGAGGAAAGUGGAGAAAGGAAGAAGCAAAGGGAAGAAGACUACGACGUUUCAAGCGCUGUGUAAGGUUCUUAGGGCCUUGGUUAUAGGCUGCAGUAGCAGCAACCAUCGAAACGGCGCCUUGAUGUGCAGAACUUUUAUAUAAUGUACAACAAUGCAGGUGAAAAAUUGUAAAGUGUGCAGAACUUUUAUAUAGACAUUCUUGAUGUGUUACCGGUGGUGGAGCAGAGGUUUAUGGUGGCUGCGGAACUGAUUUAUAUAUAGCCUCACGUAGCAGGUUUUCAUUAUAAAAACAUCUUAUGUACGAACAAUUGAUCCUCAUUACCAAUAGCAGCAUUUUGAUCUGUGUCUUGUUCUGUACCUUUGCUGUUAACCAGCCGGCUUUAUACAUUACUUAAAAUUAGCUCAGUCUUGCUACUACCUGAACUUUCAGAGUCAACUCAUUACUACUGCAUUGAGAUUACUAUGCUUGAGAUUACUAUGCUUGAAGAGGUGGUUCAUAUGCUUGAAGAUUUGAGAUAUCUAAAAGGUAAUCUGAAAGAGAUGGUAGAUCCCAGCAUAUCAAAGUGGAGAACGCAGUCAAAGUGGUAAGGAUCGCACUUCGCUGCACGACUAAGAUUCCAUCUACAAGGCCCUUCAUGCAAAUGGUGGUUCAUAUGCUUGAAGAGGCUGAACCUUGUAAAAACUAAAAGUAGCAAAAGCUUUGCAUUUAUUACUACUGCACACUUUAAGUAAUCAGCAAGAGGCUUCAAAUGCAGCAAGGGCUGAACCUUUAAGUAAUCAGCAAGGGCUGAACCUUGUAAAAACUAACAGAGGCUGAACCUUGAAGAUGAAUGUAAAAACUAAAAGUAAUCAGCAAGAUUUGCAUCAUUAAUACUGCAGUAGCAAAAGGAGAGCAUUUAUUGAGUUCUAAAGCACACAAUAUUGUCAUAAUAGGAUUUCAAGUCUUUCUCAAAAAGCUUGAAAUGCCAAAGGAGUAAAUAUUCUAUAAACAGUUCACUGUAGGAUAAAAAAAAAAGAGAAGGAAAGUCUUGAAGUUGCAGAAGAAAAGUCUUCAACUUAGAAUUGUCAGUGAGAUGACUUUAGUGAUCUUGCAAACAACACAGGACACAAUUUUAUAAGCAUCUUCCACCUGCAUUAAAAAAAUGAACCUUUUUUACAUCGUGAUCAUGCAAACAACGCAAGCACAAACCAAGCAAGUAUAAAACUAUUACUACGUACCAAGACGGGUACUAAUCUUGUAUGCUCGACUUCUGGAUGUAUGAAAUUGGAUUGGUACACGUUAAUCUAUUGUGGCCUGUUUCUUUACAUCGACCACAUUUAUGCAAUUUUGGUGCUUCACCGACACUUGGAAUCCUCUUUUUCUUCGGUCGACCAACUCUUUUGACUACUUUCGGAGGUAAGACAGUCAUAUGUACAUAUUCUUCGGUUGUCUUCCAUUCCGACUGAUUCCCAACUGGGUAGACGGCCUCCGAAUAUGCUGCCAACAAACAUUCAUUAGUGUAAUAGUUAGCACAUAAGCUAUAAACAUUUAUAUUGCGAUCCCGUGCAACAGCAAUGGCAUGUGCGCAUGGUAGUUGCUCAGCUUGAAACUCCUUACAAGUGCACUCUUGAGUAUGAAGAUUUAUGACCUCCUCUUUAUCUAAAUCUUUAACAUGGAAUUGGUAACAAUCAAUUGGGUUGACUUUCAUUGUCAAAGCUCGUUCUUGUUUCUUUUGUAGAACUAACUCUGCCCAUUUAGUCAAUGUAGACGUCACUUUAAUGCCUUCUUCUCGACGCUCCCAAAACCAACGUUGUAGCAAAGCUCGAACAUGUUCAAGGAAUGAAGCAAUAGGCAAAUCUCUAGGUUCUUUCAGUAUAGAAUUCAUGGACUCUGCUAUAUUUGUUGUCAUCAUAUUAUAUCGUCUUCCUGGACAGUGAAAACGAGACCAACGUGUUAUUCCAACAUCGUUUAAAUAUUUUCCUGAAUCAUUAGGAAAUGCAAGAAUACUUCUCCACGCUUCUGAGAACGUUGAUUCACGGUAUGUUCUAGAUGCAUUGUAAAACAAAGUAGCUAUAGUGUCAUUCUUGUAUUUAUCAUUCAAAUUUUGAGUCAAGUGUUGGACACAAAGUCCAUGGAAUGCGGAGGGAAAAACCGAUGCAAUACACUUAGAAAAACAUGUUUUUCGAUCUGUCACGAAGCCUAGAUUAGGCACCUCUCCUAUUGCACCUUUCAAUUUCUCUAAGAACCACUGUAUUGAAGCAUCUGUUUCUCUGUCCACCACUCCAAAGGCAAGAGGAUAAAUUUGAUUGUUACCAUCCAAGCAAACAGCAACUAUCAACUGACCCCGAUAUUUGUUCUUAAGGAAUGUUCCAUCCAUGACUAUAACCGGUCUAAUGCAGUUUAAGAAUCCUCGAACACAUGGACCAACAGCCAUAAAAAGAUAUUUGAAGAAACGAUUAUCUUCAAGUUCCAUGUGAAAUAUUGUACCUACAUUUGCAAGUUUGAGAGCUUCACCAUAUCUAAGCAAUAGAUUAUAUGACUCUUCAGGACACCCGCGCACUCGUUCAUACGCAUUUUCUCUAGCGCGCCAUGCUUUUUCAUAACUCAUAUUUAUGCCAUAGUCUUGCCUCAUGUCUUCUAUGAUAUCACGCGGUUUGUAUAGACGACCGACUCCCUUGAACUUUGACUUUAUUAAUUCUCCAACAACCCAAGAUUUUGCUUGCCUAUGGUCACGAUUCAAAACGUCAAGAGAACACGAAUGAACUUUGACAUACUUUUUAAUCUUAAAUAUAUUUGAAUCCUUCAAUCUCAUCGCUCGCAGUCUCCAACCACACUUGUUGUCAAUGCAUCUAACAAAGAGAACCUCUUUUGUAGACUUUUUUACUACAAACUGAAAAUUUUUUUUCAUUGCCAAGACACUUAAUCUCAUUGACAAAUCUUUUUUGGAAAAAAAUAUUUGUCCUACAUCAAACUCCUCACUUGUAGAGCUUUCUUCGGACCAAUCAUUCAUGUCUGUCUUCAACUUUUGGCUAGAAGAGCUGUAACGAACUUUAGAUUUUCCUUUGCAAUCUUUUGUAGGACCAUCUCUAUGUUGUGGGAUGUCAAAUGAUUCACUAUUCAUCUCUACUGGCUCCCAUGUAAAAGUCUCAUCUUUCGAAUCAUAUGACUCAUAUGAUUCCCAUAUAGCCGAAGUGGUCCCUAUCACGUUAUCACACAAGCCAACUUCAACUUCACGAACAUGGACUUCAUUCUCAUUUAAUGUAUCCAUUACAAUUGGAGGAUGAGGGUUUAAGUUAUGAGCUUGGUUGCUGCCAGAUACUGAAUUGUAAUCUUUGCUUAACACUUUUUUGCUUUGAUUACUUUUAGGCUCAAAUGAGACGUAUAAAGGGACCUUUAAUGGAUUUUCACUAAGAAGAUAAAACUUCAAAUCACGGUCAUUGCUUAACUCAAAUGUAGGAGCUUCGUGUUCCACUUUUAUCUCAUAUAUGCAUCUUAUCAUUACGUCGAACUUUGAAGGGUCAACUUCUGCAAGGUCAUAUAAUUCUGCCUGUAAAUCUUUAUGUGUUAUUUCUUUACUGACAACGAUGCCUUUUAACAUGCCUCCUUCGUAUUUUCUUCGCCUCUCAUCCCACAUACCACCGUAACGCACUAACAUGGGAAUAUGUGACAUCCUUAAACCACCUUAUACUUUUCAAUUGCUGCAAAAAAUGAUUUGAAGUUAGCAUUUGACAUAUCACAUAAACAAAGUUUAUUAAAAAACAGUAGGUAAAUACUAAAUAAAACGUGCAUAGUCACACCCUACAUGUUUACGAUCUUGACAGCUACAAAAUGUUUAGGAUAUUGCGAGAUACAAAAAACAAUAGCUAAAAGUCACCCUAAAUCAAUUCAUUUCAGAUUAAACAUUUCAAUUUAAGAACCUGCAAGAUGUCUGCGAGAUGUUUGCGAGAUGUCUACCAGAUGUUUGCGAGAUAAAAUAAUAAUAAUGAUAAAUUGCUAACAUCAUUUGAAACAUCUAUAAAGCAACCUUAAAUCAACCCUAAAUCAACUUGAAACAAUAAAAAAUAAUAUUUGAUUUAUACAUUUAAGAUGCAAAAAUAUAUAUACAUAUAACACAACACAAUUCAGAUUCGGAUUUAAAAAUUAAAACAAACCACAAUGCGUGAGAUGUUCGCCGGAGUAGAUGAUGAACGACACCGGAGUAAAGCGGAAAGUUGACAAACUUUUGAGAGAGGAGAAGAAUCGCAAAUGAGUUUUUCUUUUUUCUUUUUCCUUUACAUAAUCUAUGAGAAGGAGGAGAAAUGCUUCUUUUUUCUUUACGUAAUCUAUGAGACUGCAAGAGAAGGAUUCUUCUUUUUUUUUCCCUUUACGUAAUCUAUGAGGAGAGGAGAAGAAGGCUGCGUUCGCAAUUCUGUUUUUUUUCUUCAGGUGAAUGACAUUGAAGAGAGAGAGAGAGGGGUUGGAAAAGAAGAGAAGAGCAAAUGUGAAUUAAAAUUAAAAGAGGGUAUUUUCGUCAUUUCACCUCCAAUUUAUCCUAAAUCUCAACUUUUCUACAAUCAAUCCUAAAACUCUAUUUAUACCCCAUUUUUGGCCUAUUUUUGUCAAUUUCCCUUUAUUCUUUGCCCAUUUGUUCCUUCAAGUCUCUUCGUUACUUUUGUUUUCACUCUCUAUCUCUCUCUCUAAGCUCAAGAUCUGGCCUCUCUCUCUCUCUCAUGGAGGUUGCUGUUUUCUUUGCCAAUCAAUUUCUUUAGGAUCUAAGAGAGAGAGCUGCUGAGAUUCAGAAAAGAAAUGGAGGUUUUGUGCUGAGGUAUGUAAUGGAGGGUUGUUUCUUUCAGUUUCUUUGCCUCUAAACCUCCUAUUUCAUAUGGAAUUGUUUCGUGGGUUUGUUUUGUUUUUUGUUUUUUUUUUCCUUGGGAGUUUUCUUUGUACAAUGUUGCAAUCAGAUGGAUUUUAAUUGGUUGUUACGGGCUUUCUUCAUUUUGGAUCUGUUUUCAGAAAGUUUAAAUUUUGCAUUGUUUUGAGUUCUUAUGUUUCUGACUGAUUUGUGUGUUCCUUUUUCUCAGGUUCAGAUGAUUGAAUAGGAAAUGGGGAAGAAGGGGGGUUGGUUUUCUGCUGUGAAGAAAGCAUUUGCUCCUGAAUCUAAGGAAAAGAAAGAUCAGGUUCUUAUGGGUUGGAUUCUAAUUUCUAUAAUUUUUUGUCUUCUUUGUGUUAUGGUUUUCUUCCUAGAUCCUGAACUGAGAGUUUGUUAAUGAUUUUCAUUGCUAGAAAACCAACAAAUCAAAGAAAAGAUGGUUUGGGAAGCCAAAGAAAUUGGAGACAGUGACAUCUGCAGAGCCAGCUUCAUUCGAUGUGUCGAUUCUACCAAUUGAAGAGGUAAAAUUAGCAGAUGCAGAGAAUGAACAGAGCAAACAUGCUUACUCUGUUGCCAUUGCCACUGCAGUCGCUGCAGAGGCAGCCGUUGCAGCUGCUCAGGCUGCAGCGGAGGUCGUUCGGCUUACUACUAUCCCUCGAUACUCUGGGAAAUCAAAGGAAGAAAUAGCAGCCAUCAAGAUCCAGACUGCAUUCCGUGGCUAUUUGGUGAGUGAUCACUUUCACUUUUUUUUUUUUUUAAAAAAGCUAUGGCUGUUUUGAACUACACUACUUUUUUAAACAGUUCUUUGUUUUGGAUAGAAUUGUAGAUUUUGUUUAAAUUACCAUCUAGGCCCCUAGAGUUUGAGUUUCAUUUCAAAUUAGUCUGAAGUUUUAUGAUUAUUCCUUAGAAUUCAAGCACAGAGCAGUCCAAAUCUAUAGAGAAGUUUCGGUUCAAGUGAAGGUUGUUUGAAGUUUUAUGAUUAUUCUUGAGAUCUGUUAACAACUCCCACAACAUUUCUUUAGAGAGGCAGUGAGCAGAUCUUAGAUUGACUUACAGCAUUAGGUUAAGUAUAUAAGAGUUUGGUUGUGUAAAAUCUAAAUGAAAUCAUGUGGAUAAUUGGGUAAGGUGUGGUAUUAGGAUUUUUGAGAAUGUGCAACAAGACCCACCUUUUUUCCUUGUUAUUUUUUUCCCUACAGUUACUUAGCUCAUCAUCUUUCGUUGCCAGAAGCCACAUUAAAAAUAAAAUAAAAGGCUAACAUUUAACAGAGAUUAGAGCAAGUUAUGGGAGCUACCAUGAAAGUCUUAAAAUCACAAAGAAACCAAAGUUUAGUAGGAACUAAAACAAUUAAUAUACCCAGAACUAUUCAACAAUCUUAAAACAACAAAAUAUACAAGUCAAAUUCCUACUUGCCAUGACUUAAAGUACUUUUUCUUGAGAAAGAGCAUGAGUUUUCGCAUCAAAUUCGUGCACAUCAUAUACACCUAACUUCAAUGCAGGCUUUGAAUGUGUCAUUUAAUGGUCUACAGAGUGUUCAAAAACCGUAUUUAAUAGGUUGUUCUCUGUAAUAGCUAGUUCAAGGAUUUGGGACAUUAAUUAUUGGUAUUGAAAUUAGUUUCUAUAAUGGGAAUUUUGUUGGCUCAGGCAAGGAGGGCCCUGCGGGCAUUAAGAGGGUUGGUGAGGCUAAAGUCAUUGAUACAAGGCCAAUCUGUUAAAAGACAAGCAACAACCACAUUAAGAUGUAUGCAGACUCUUGCUCGUGUGCAGUCACAGAUUCGUGCAAGAAGAAUUAGAAUGUCAGAGGAGAAUCAGGCUCUUCAGAGACAGCUCCAACAAAAACAUGAAAGAGAGCUUGAGAGAUUAACUACUUCUGUAAGUUUCUUACUAUUAUCUUUUGUAAAUCUCUCAUGUCAGAUUGUACUUUGACAGUAAUACUUAAUGGCUACCUGGUUUUCAUCUAUUUUUUUUCCUAGUAACAUAGAUACGUGGCCUAACGACAUGAUGCCACAUGACCAUCGAAAUUUUUAAGUUUCUUUUUCAGUUGUCCUUAGGCUGGGCUAUGCAUCCCAACUAGUCCUAAAUCCAUUUUUCCUUUUGGAGACUCAAAUCCUCUCAUCUCUCAUUCACACAAAGUACAGAUAUUUGGUAAUUUUAUAUUUGUACCGUAGAGAGAUGGAGAGAGAUGGAUAUUUAAUAUUCAAUGUCAGGAAGCUUUUCGAUAUAUUUAAUACUCCAAGUGGGUAGCAAGUAGUUUAUGUGUUUCUUUUUCUGGUGCUCCUUUAUGAUGAGAUAUUUUUAAUCCAUUAAUCCGCAAGCUGACUUAUGAACUUUCCAAUUAAUCAUAUCGCAUAUGAUAAAACAGCCUCUGACUCCCAAGAUAUUUUUAAAAUGAGGUUUGAGUAUAACGCACUCUCUCUUACGAGUGGUUUUAAGAUGUUUCUUUUAUAAGGAAGUUCUUGAUUAGAUAUUACAAGUUACAAGAAUGUGGCCUAUGAUCAGUUCUUAAUUAAUCCUUGUGUUGAUACUAUGAAUGAGAAUUGAAGUUUGAUGUUUGGAUUAGGCAAACUAUGAAUGGAAUGACAGUACCAAAUCAAAGGAGCAAAUUGAAGCCAGAUUAGCUAACAGGCAAGAAGCAGCAACAAGAAGAGAAAGGGCAUUGGCGUAUGCUUACUCUCAUCAGGUUCAAUUCAUUUCUUACUUUCUUGCUGAAUUAUUACCUCCCUGCUCAGAUCAUUGUUUUUCAUUCUCAUGGGCGUUUUCCCAACAGAAUUCAUGGAAGAGUUCUUCAAAAUCUGCAAACUCUACAUUCAUGGACCCGAACAAUCCCCGCUGGGGAUGGAGUUGGUUAGAACGAUGGAUGGCCGCUCGUCCAUGGGAAACUAAGAGCACCAUGGAUUAUCACGAUCGUGGCUCCGUCAAGAGCGUGAUCAGCCACACAACCUCGAUCGGAGACAUCGCCAAAGCUUACGCCCGUCGCGAUCUCAAUCUCGACAUCAUCAAGCAGUUUCCAAGGACUCCGACGAGCCAAAAAACAAGCCGAGCUCCGAGUCACCAAUCGCCAGCGACUCCUACGAAGGCAUAUUCGUCACUAUCUGCAGGGAGAAAAUUGAAGCCGGAUAGUCCAAGAGGAAUUGGGUGGAGCGGAGACGCGGAUUCCAGAAGCGCAUUGAGCAUCAAAUCGGAAAGGUACAGGCGACACAGCAUUGCUGGAUCAUCAGUGAGAGAUGAUGAAAGCUUCACGAGUUCACCGUCGGUUCCAAGCUACAUGGCAUCAACAGAAGCAGCGAGGGCUAGGUCCAGGUUGUCGAGCCCAAUGGGAACAGAGAAGACGGCAGGAACUCCGGGGAGUGUGGGAGCAAAGAAACGGCUGUCAUUCCCAGGGUCGCCGGCGAACUCAAGGAGGCACUCUGGUCCGCCGAAACUAGAGGCUAGUCCGAUCAAGAAUGUUGGAGAGAGAGAAUUCACCGGCGAGAGCAGAUAGUGGAAGAAGAUGGAUUUGGUAGUGAUUUUUAUUCUUAAUUGUCAUUUACAAUUUUUCUUUUUUAGGAUUUAAUUUUAUAGGUAGCGUUGUUUUUUGUUUGUUUGUUUGAAGGCAUCCACCCACACCCCAAUGGUGAAUAAAAGAACGUAGUCUUACUCUUCUUUCUUUCUUUUUAUGUAAAUGGAAUUGAAUUGAGCUUUGUUUCGCUUUGAUUUCUCUUUUUGAGGUAUAUAAUUUGUCACCUUUUUUCUUUUCAUUUCUUUUUCCUCUUAACUUUUCACCUUUUUCCAUGAAUCUACUCAUUCCCUUUCUCUCACUUUACACUUCUACUUUUUCCAGGUCGAGAAUGAGUGAACUUCACAUUCUGUCUAAUUAUGUUUCCAGUUUUCCACUCGAUCUAGUUUUCAAAAUGAUAGUCUUAUUGAGUUGACGAUACAAGUCACUUCCAUCCAUGCAAAUAAAAAAGAACAAGCUCUUACAAGCAAAAGUCCAUAACUCAAUCAAGAUUGAGAUCGAGUUACACAUGGUCAUCCCGUGAAACAUUAACAUUUUCAAUCAUUAGUGUUACAAAGAGAAAUUAAUUAUUUUGUGGUUCAGUAUUAUACAAACUCUAUGAAUUCAUACACCAACUUGCAUGAUUCUGCAUGAAUGAUUUAAAUUACAAUGUGUGUAAUAUUUACCAAGCGGGUAGUGUCCAUAGUGUACUUACCAAGAUAAGGUAUCCGACCUUAUACAUAUGUUAGCUUGACUUUUAGAUUUUUACUUGAAUGUGAUUAUCUUGUAUGUCAACUACAUAGUGUUCAAAUUUUAUUUAAUAAUCUUGGACUUUUAUUUGUUCGAUUCGUGUUACUACAAUUCUAAAAGGCGUAAUAAAAUAACAUUUAUUUUGUGGAUAAGUAAAUUGUUUAAAAAAAUACAAAAGGUAAGUUUAGAGCGUAAAACUCAACACUAAAGAAAUCAUACAUUCGUAGUCAUGAGUGUAUGCUAUUUUAAAAUUUUCAUCUUAUUUGAUUGUUUAUUGUGUUGGUAUGUUAUAUAAAAAGUUUAGGGUUAUUUAUGAAAUCAUUAAGCAAAUCUUUUAAUACUUUUCAUCCAAAAUUAACGACAAUAAUAUUUUUGAAUGUUUAAGGAUAUUUUUUAAACUUUUGAAAGUUCACGAGUAUUUCCUUUUGGUCUUUAAGUUUUCAAAAUGUAUCUAUUUAAUUCGUGACAUUUUCAAAACAGGUUUAAAAGAUAUGUGUUUAUUGGUCCCUAAAUUUUGGGUAUAGUUAUAUUUUAGUUUAUAGGUUUCAAAAUAAUGUUACAUUUCUCACCUUAAGUUUUAAGUUUGAAUUUAAUUUAGUUCAUAAGUUUUAAAAUAUUACAAUUUUACCCUUUAGGUUUGAAUUUUGUUUUAAUUUCUAUUAACUAAUUUAACUAAAAUUAUAAAAAAAAUUAUAUUGUAAAUAUAAUUAUGUAUGUAGAUAUUCAUAACCUGCAUAGAUUACCAAUCUUCAUAUAACUUUUCCUCAAUUAUAUAUUGUAUCAUUCAUCUCAUUGAAUUCCAUAAUGUAACACAUACUAUACCAUGUCUUAUAAAUACAGGUGCGUGGUGCCUUUGUAAGAUACACCACAAGUUCAAUUGUUCUCUACUUUCUCUUUUAUCUAUUUUUCUUUUGUGUUGUUUCAUUAUUCUUAUUUAGCUUCUUUGUUCAUGUUUUAUAACACUUUAUAAUUAAUUAAAUUUCACUACUUUUCAUUGCAAUCAUAGCUAAUUUUAAAUUUUCACUUCAUAAAUAUUUAAAAUUAAUCAAGGGUUUUUUUUUUUUAAUUAUAACAAAUUGGCAAAAUAUUUACACGGUAUAGAACAAUUUUGAAAAUAGAAAAAGCCCACAGACCCAUAAUGGAAAAUACAAAAAAUGUCUCAAUCAACACAUGAUUGAUUGGCCGCAUGCACGAGUGUAAUUCUUCUUAUAAAUGAACGUGAUACGCGAUCAUGUAGGAAAUGAUACAUGAUAGUGUAGGAAAUGAUACACGAUCAUGUGAGUAGUAUCAACAUCGAUCACACACGCUCAUGUAAUUGUUAUUCUAAAUGAUCAUGAUACGCAAUUAUGUAGGAAAUGAUACACGAUCGUGUAGUUCUUUUUAACAAUGGAAAAAUGUUUCGUGUAAUUUUUUUUCUAAACGAUCAUGAUACACGAUUGUGGGGAAAAAUGCUUUGCGUAAUUCUUCUUCUAAACGAUCAUAAUAUGCAAUUGUAUAGAAAAUGAUACAUGAUCGGGUAGAAAAUUGUACACGAUCAUGCAUUUCUUUUUAACGAUAGAAAAAAUGCUUUAAAUCUAAAUGAUUGGACUGCUGACCAUACUAAAUGAUUGUGUUGACCAUGCUAAAUGAUUGUGUUGACUAGGUAAGCAAUCGUUUAGAUCAUAUCAAAGUGAUAUUUAAACGAUCUUGAUAUUGUGGAAGAGGAGUUGUAAGAAAGAAAUAGAAGAUGAAAAAAGAAAGUAAGAAAAAGAAGAUGAAUAAAAAUAGAAGAAAAAGAAUCUGGAAAAGGAGUUGAAGAAAUCUAGAAGAGGAAAUGAAUAAAUCGUAAGGAAGAAGAAGAAAGAUAAGUGACGAAUCGUCUGGAAUAUCAAGGAAAAAUAUGAAAUUUAUGAAAAAAUUAUACAUGCUUCAUAGACUUUUUGAUUUUGUUACACGAGCGGUAAAUAUUUUGGUGUUUUGUUAUAUUUAUGAAAAUUUACCAUUAAUUAAUAUACAUUCACACCAAAUAGUGAAAGUGAAUGAAUCUUAAUUAAAAGAUUAUGCUGAACAACACUAGAAUUUAAAGAAAGUUUCAUCCUCUCAUAAUUGAUCACUCAUUCAAGAUUGGAAUUCAAUUAAAGAUUGAAAUAAAAUGCGCAAGAAAGAUCAAACUAAAAAUUAAUUUCCAAAAAGGUACCUUUUAUUUCUUUGUUCAUCUUGGUGUAACAUCAGAAGGAAAGUUGAACACUAAAGGAAAUUUUAUUAAUAACUUUUGAGAGAAAAAUUACAAGUUGAAGUGCCAUUUCUAUUUGGGAAUUGAAUAGGGUAAUAGAACUAUGGAAUUGAUAUUAAAAUACAAGAGAAAGGGAAGUUAUAUAGCAAUUGGGUUUCAAAAGGUGUGCAAAUGUGCUCAUUCACAUGCACCAAAAGUUUGUAGCAUCGUGAUGCUUGCUUUAACUGUUAUUAGUGUUACAACACUUCAUAUUUGAUGUGGUGAUGCAACACUAAGUUGAGUUUCACGAUGCUGCUUGAAAAUGAAGCUCUUUGGUUUCUGAUGCCAUGGCAUGACAUUGCACUGUUGCAAGCGGCGUUGACAAGGUGAAAAUUACAAAUUUGCCUUUGAUUACACACCAAAAAUGUUCAUUUUACAACAUACUUAUACAUAACAUGUUAAAACAAUGAUCAACAACAUGUUUAGGUAAAUUGAUAAAAUCAAACAAUUACAAAACUUAUACUAACAAAGAGUAAACAAUUAAUUUAUAGAAACAAAUCAUAAAUAACCCAUAAACUAUACAUAGAUCGUAAAAUAGUUGAAAUAAAAACCAAACAUAAACAAUCAUGCAAACCGUAAACUUAUUAUAGAUCAUAAACACAAACAAUCUCAUAAAUCAUAAAGAAAUUAAGAAGAAGCAAACCAUAAUGUUAUUAUGAACUAACAAUACUUUUAACAAACAAUAUUUUUGUAAACAUAAUAUGUAAAUAGGUAUAAAAUAUUAUAUUUUCAAACAUUUAAACUAUGCAUAAUGUAGACAUGGAAUAUUUCAUGCAAUGUUUACAAAUACAAAAAGAUAUAUAUAUAUAUUAUAGCCUACCUUUUGCAUGAUGAUAAAAUUGUAAAGAUUUGUACUGAUAACGUUUUAUAAAAUAAGAACAAAGAAGCUAAAUAAGAACAAUGAAACAACACAAAAGAAGAAUAAAGAAGAGAGGAAAUAGAGAACAAUUGAACUCAACUGUGAUGUAUAUUUCAAAGACACUACACACUUCUAUUUAUAGGACAUGUCAUGAUAUAGAUUACAUUAUAAAGUUCAUUAAGAUGAAUGUUACAACAUGAAAUUGAAUAAAAGUUAUAAGAAAAUGGCUAACCUAUAUAGGUUAUGAAUGUCUACGUAAAUAAAUAAUUAAGAAAAACGUAUGACAAUUCAUUAGCUCAAUUUUGAAGCUAUAUAAAUUUCUCUUAUUCCCUUAUAGCACUCACACAUUCUCCCUCAUUUUCUUUGUGACUCGUGUUCGCACUCUCAAUUAUUCUCUCUCUCAAUAUUUUUAUGUAAGAUAAAAAUCUAAUGAAAUUGUGAACAAUAAAAUAAAUCCAUAUAUUGGAGAAUCUGGUGUAAAGCAAAAGAUACUUUUGUGUUUUCUAACUAUGUAUAAAAAUGCAUGAAGGCCUCCAACGACACUACAACUAUAUGUCGAAUAAGCUGCAAUAUUCUCAUAAUACUUACCAUGCACUGCAACAUAUCUAAAUUAGAUUAAUUUAAAUUUUAGUUGUUUCUAAGCAUUAUAUUUUGGAUUGGAAAGACUUAUUUAUCCAUCAUUUGAUUUUAUUUAUAUCAUUUCAUUCUUUAUUCUUUUCUUUCUUUUCUCUCUUUCUUUAAUUUAUUUUUAAUUAAAAGAAAGUAUGUUUUGUUAU
Molecule: long non-coding RNA, 82687 nt
Filed under: Cucumis sativus (cucumber)
Lineage: Eukaryota; Viridiplantae; Streptophyta; Magnoliopsida; Cucurbitales; Cucurbitaceae
Description: long non-coding RNA (CSAT_LNC002011)
Source: RNAcentral